GUGCUCUUCCCUACUUCUUUAAUAUAUGCCAUUAAUGAAAACUAUCAUAAAAAAGCCUAAGUACGACCUAAAAACGCAGUUCAUCAAAUCCAUAAAUGUUAUUGGGGUAUUAGUCAACCCAAAAGAUGUCACCAGAAACUUGUAAUUACUAUAAUGGGUCUUAUAGGUUGUCUUAGGUAUGCCCUAUAACUCCCCAAAGAUACCCCCUGGAUGUCAUAGGGUACUUAAGACUAUGAAUAGCCCCAAGCUAACCUAUGAUAUCUACUCAGAACUGAAAUCUCAUAAAUGUAAACUUAAAACAUGAGCAAAAACUUAAAAAACAUAUAACUGAGUUCAAAUAUAUGAAUAAUCUCAAACAAAACUCUGUAACUCAAUAACUUUCAAAUUUAUGAAAAACUAAAAGAAAUAUAUAGUCUGACUAGCUUGACAAACCUUUAAUUAGAACUGAAGAGCCACUAGGACAAACUUAAGAUGAACCAAAAUAAAAACCGAAUAACUAAAAUAACUGCAAUAAAUAUCUUGAACCAUCAUAAACUUGGCCCUCAAACUAUGAGGAUUCACCAACUAUCUAAAUGUAGGAAGUGGUACCUGCGGUUAAUCGUGUUGUUGGGACGAACACCAGAACCUACAUUAUGAAACAAUGUAGCCACACAGACAUAUAUGUGGUCAGUACGUCUAGAAUGUAUUAAGUUGUAACACCCCGAAUCUUAUUCCCAGAGCGCUACACGGUGCUCAUGACCCCGAAGGACCACAAGCUAACCCAUGACUGAUAUCUGUACCUGAACACUGCAUAAUAUAUGGUAUAAAUGCAAAAAUAAAGGCUAAAAGGCCAUAAGGUUCAAAACUGAUAAAACAUAACAUCUAAAAGUAUGGUAUAUUAAUACCAAAACAAACUGAAACAAAACUGUCUAAACAUACUGUAGUCUGAAAAACCUCUAAAAUUGAAUUGUCUGAAUAAGGAGUUGAUGGGAAAUAUCCCCAACUAACUCCAACUACUGAAAUACACUAAGUAAUAAAGAAAUAAAGUAAUGACCAUGUCCUCAAAGAAUGAGGACUCACUGCUAACUCUGACUGCUAAAACUGGAAUGCUACUGAUGCUCUGGAGCUCGUGCUUCUAGACCUAUAGUAUAGAAUAAAAUACCAUAGCAUAAAUGCGUCAGUAUAAUUGAAUGUAAUGGUAUGCAUGUGAGGUAGGCGGAAUGAAAAGGGUUCAAAUGCAUGAACAAUGCAAACUGACUGUAUAGCAUGAACAUGAGAAUACAUGCAUGAAUAAGUAACUGUAACUAAACUCGUGAUGGUACCGACUACUGAGUCUGAUUACUGAUAACAUGAGUUACUGAUAAUUGAUAUAACUAAUACUGAGCAACUGUCUUUGACAGUUUAGGUUCUGAUGGAACUAGCUGAGUUUUGUACUGUGCUGAGUUGAUCGUAUCUUACAGUCCUAAAAUUUAAAGAACUAUCUACGUUCUUUUACUAAGACUGAGACUGUGGGAAAUAGUCAUCUAACCGAUAUGCCCCAAAUAAUGCAUUAUAUCUGAGUUUGGGUCUAAUCUGUAACCCCAAUUAGAAGGGUGUCAAUACCGCACCACUGGUAAAGACAAGUUGUGGGUGACCCUCAUCUGGCAGUGUCCCCAAAAAAGAAUGGUGGGACCCUCAUCUGACAGUGCUUAUCUACCUCAUUAACCCUCAUCUGUCAGUGUUGAUGUCUCAACCUAUUUUGGCUACAUAUUUAUGGAAUGUAAGGAUUGCUUUUAAGGAUCACACCCUCAACUUUCAGUGUGUGUCCUUAUCCUUAGGUUCACUCGGUGCUAAAUCCUACUCCCAUUUGAAUAGACACUAAACAUGAUUAACUGAACUUAACUGGAUUGAGUUCAUUCAGUUCCGUUGACUGAUAGAAUACAACUGAGAUUAUUAAAUUUCUGAGCUUUCUAAGAUUACUGGGAUUACUGAGUUUACUUAGUUUUCCUGAGUCACGUAACUGAUUGAAUUCUACUAAUCAUGGCUUGACUGAGGAUAUCAUGAAAACAUAACACUAGCUCUAGGCACAUAGCUAAAUUAUCGGGCACAAGUACCCCUAUGACUCUAUAGGAGAAAACUGAUAAGGCAUGAUAUUCUUGAAUACAUUAUCAACAUCAACAAUUCAUAAUACAAUAAGUUGGGGAUUUUAUGAAGUACAUGGUUAUCAUAAUCUUGUACAUGGUAGGAAUGCAUAUACUCAAUGUCAUAAUUUCAUACUCCAACAUCAUGAGCAUUCCAAUAAACAACUACAUUGCACAUCAAUAGCAUGAGAGUCAUUUGAAUAUAAGGAUAAAACAUGCACUUAUCAUAUGGAUCACAAUUGAGCUAUAAUACACAAUUUCUAUCCUCUUAGGCAUUUUAUCAAACACCUUACAUGCACAACUUAGGGCAUAAGUGUAAUCAUCAAAUUACAAAUCAUAAACAACUCAAUUCAUGGAUUUCAACUUGCAUGCUAACGUAAUUUCAUGAAAAACGCAUAAAGAUUCCAACUUGGGAAUCAUACCACAACAACCACAUGAACAUAAUCAACCCAUAGCAUGAAUAUCAUAAUCCAUAGUUUAAAACUUGAUUCUUGGGCUUCAUGGACAAAAGGAAUCUAUGAAUGAACAGUAUGCAUACCUUAGUUCUUGAUUUUGCAAAGAUUUACGAUGGAAUGUUCUUGAAUUUGAAUCCCCAAUUGAGAACCCUAACUUGUUCUUGAUUGAAUUUUGAGAGAAGUGACUAUAUUUUGGUUGAAUUGGGGAUAAAUCCCGUGUUAUAGGCUUAUAUAGGGGUGGGAAAUACCCAUUCUGCCUUUAAAAUAACUCAAAAAUGGGGUGUUUAUGUCAUUUGGGCCAUAAGAUAUGCGUCGCACAACUUAUUGCGUAAGCUAGGUUGUGCGUCGCACAACUUAUAGCUUAAAUUAGGUUGAGCGCCGCACAACUUAUGGCUUAAGUUACGUUGUGCAUCACACAACUUAUGGCUUAAGUUACGUUGUGCAUCACACAAAUUAUGGCAUAAUUUAGGUUGUGCGUCGCACAAAUUAUGGCAUAACCAUUCCAGUAGCCUUAGGAGAUUUGUUAGGCGACGCAUUCUACUUUGCAAAGCCAUAACUUCUUGCUCGGGUGUCAGAUUUUGGUAAAAUUAGUAUCAUUGGAAAGCUGAUUCGAUCCUCUAUAAGUUUUUGGGUCUAAAUAUGGCAAAAUACCACAUAUACAUAAAUUUAUGCUCAUUCAAAGAUGACUCUUGCAAAAUCAAAUACUAAAACUUGAUGGAUUCAAAAGUUCUUAGCUUGCCUUACUCUAAGUGACUCUUAUGAACACGCUUAACACAUCAUAAGCUCUCUUCUCAAUAGUAUACUCAUUGUAAGUCAUGUUCUCAAAUAUGAAUCACAAGAUAGGAGGUUUCAUACGUAGGAACAAUGGUUCAUUUUCUAGCUUAGAAAUAUAUGAGGUAUUACAUAAGUUUGUGGGGGUGAGUGUAAUAAGUAAAACUAAAGCUGAGCAUAAUUUCAAAUCAUGAAUGCUAAGUGUAAAAAGACUCACCUUGAUCAUAAGUAAGACUGAAAGCUGAAAUCUCUUAAAGAAUGACUCAUAAAACAAUAUCUAAACGGCAACUAAGAGUCAUUAUACUUCAUUUCUGAAAUACUCUUUUCUUUGGGAGAUUCUCAUAACUGACAUAAAUCAUACGAGCAACACGGAGUCAGAUAACUUAAGCCCUCAUCAAAAGAUUAUGAUAAUCUCAAACUUGCAAUAGCCUAAUAUACCUUAACAGGGUAUAAAGUCUAACUAUGGUACAAUAACAACAAUAGACCCAUUAUAUUCCCACCAAGUGGGGUUUUGAGAUGGUAAGUGUAUGCGGUUGUAAUACCCCAUACUUUUCCUAGCUUGAAAAACUUCUCAAGAAUGUUAGAAGCUUUCUUUGAAAGAUAAAUCCACUUUUUUACACGUGGUAUUUUUAAGAUUUUGACUUUUUAUCAUGUGGGGAAUCGAAUAAGCUUUCCAUCGAUACCAAAUUAACCAAAAUCCAAUAGCCGGGUAAAGAGUUAGAGCCUUUUUAGUAAGACAGUGUAUCACCUGAGCCUUCAGCGCAUCGCAGAGAUAGCUCAAAUGAAAAUUGUCAAUUUCCAGUAUUGCUCCGCGAUAGUGGCGCAUCACGCAAAACUUCCAGUUCAUAGACAAGGUGGCAACUCAAUAGCUCUGCAUCGUACCACCGUGCAAUUUCCCAUUUGUACUUUCCAGUGACUUGGUGUGAUAGUGGCGUGUCGCGCCAAGGAUGAAAAUCAGGAAAUUUUCUCAAAAAUUAAAGACGCAUCCAAGGGUUAAAAGGGUCAAUUUUCUACCCCUAUUUAAACCCAAUAACAUGUGAUUUAUCCAUUCUUCACCCAAAAUAUACUAGUUUCUCUCAAGUUUCUUUCAAGAACAAGUUAGGGUUUCUAUGGAGGGUUCAAAUUCAAGAAGGUUUCACCGUCAGUCUUCACGUAAUCACAAACUAAGGUAUGCAUAGUGUUCAUUCAUGGACUCCUUUCAUCCAUGAAGCUCGAGAAUCUCUUUUCUAAGUCUAAGUUUAUGGAUUUCUUUAUGAAUUUCAUGUUGGUUUAGUUUUUUUUAUGUUGAGAAUGAUCAAUUGAAUUCAAAUCCAUGUUGGGUGAUCAAUUUUAUAUGGAAUUGAUUUGUAUAGAUGUAUAUUCAUGUGAACCUAUAAAUAAACCCUAGGAUGAUGAAAUUAAAGAUGAAUCGUGAUGAUUAAUUGUUGUAUAAUGUUGUCUACAUUUGCGAUGCCUACCAUCUGUAUGAUUAAAUGCCUAGAUGAAGGAAUAAUGCCCAACUAGUAUGAUAUCAUGAAAUCCCCAUAUAUGUACAAGCUUAUGCAAAUCACAUGUUUGAUGAAGUUCUUUAAUAUAUGAAUUAUGAAUUGUGUUGUUGGUCAUGUGUUCAAGUAAGCCAUGCUAUGUCAGUUUCUUCUCAUCGAGUCUUGGGGGUACUUGUACCUGAACAUUUAGUUGUGCGCCUAGAGCCAUGUCAUGUUUUCAUGAUCUUCUCAGACAAGCUAAGAUCCAUAGAACUCAGUCAAUCAUGUGACUAAAGAAAUCUCAAAAAUCUCAGUAAUUUCAGUAGCUCAGUAAUCUUAGUAAUUUCAGUAUUCUCAGUCAGUCCUCAGAACUCAGUACAUUUUGUCAGUCAAUGAAACUCAGUAAAUUCAAUUUAGCUCUACUAGACAAUACCACUAGUAUCAGUUCAGUUCAGUUAAUCAGCUCAGUUUAGUUAAUUAGUUCAGUGUCUUUCAGAUGGGAGUACAAUUCAGCACCGAGCGAGCCUAGGGAUGGGGACUCACCCUCUAGAUAGGACUGGAAACCUAGAAGCAAUCCCUAAGUUCUAGAACUACUUAGCUUGUGUAGGUACGAGAUGUCAACUGUUAGAUAGGACUGACAUACUCAAGGAUCACCCGUUAGCGCAUUUAAAUAUAUAGGACUGAUCCCAGGGGUCACCUGCUAUAUUAGGACUGACUCCACAGCAGUUGUCUUCACCAGUGGCAUCAUACUGACACCUUUCCAGCUGGGGUUACAGGUUAGACCCCAGUUAGCUUAGUAUGGGGCAUGUCGGUUAGAUGAAUACAUCCCACAGUUUUAGUUACAGAAUCAGGACUGUCACACACAGUCAAUUUAGCUCAGUAGUAGAGAUUUAGGAAUGUCAGAUACAGUCAAUCCUUAUCAUUAUAAAUAGACCCCAGGGUUACCUACCAGACAGGACUGAUCUCAAUUAUGGUCAAUCAAUACCCGUAUUAUCAGAUGUAGAGAUCACCCAAUAGAUGGGACUAAUCUCAGAUACAGUACAGAAAUCAGCUAGUUCUAUCAAAUUCAAGACUGUCAGAUACAGACACUCAUGUUAUCAAUUAUAUCAGUUAUCAGAACUGAUAUUAUUAGCAUUCAGCUUUAGAACUGUCAGAUACAGUCAACCAAACCAGUUUUUUUUAAUCAGAACUGUCAGAAAUAGUUAUUCACGUAUCAGUAAUAUAGUAUCAGUCUCUUAGAUAUCAGCAACCUGUUAUUAGUAAACUCAGUAUUUAGAACUUAGCAUUUAGUCCUAUCACGAUGUCAGUUACAGUUACGUAUGCAUGCAUAUAUUCUCACGUUCAUGUUAGUCAGUCAGUUAGUAUUGUUCAUGCGUAUGAACCUAUUGCAUUCAACCUACCUCACUUGCAUACCAGUAUAUUUAAAGUACUGAUGCAUUUGCGCUAUGGUGUCUUAUACCAUAGGUUUAGAAGCACGAUCUCCAGAGCAUCAGUAACAUCCCAAUUUAGCAGUCAGAGUCAGAUGUGAGUCCUCAUUCUUCGAGGACAUGUUGAUUACAUUAAUAUUUCAGUUUUCAGUUUAUUUCAGUAGAUAGAGUUAGUCAGGGACAUGUCUCAUCAACUUCUUAUUCAAUUUAGUUUAGAGGCUUUCAGAUUAUAGCAUGUCAGAUAGUUAUUUCAGAUUUGCUUUGGUAUUGUUAUACCAUUUUCAGACAUUAUUUUAUCAGAUGUUUAUCAAGUUUGAACCUUAUGGCCUUUCAGUACAUGUUUCUGCAUUUAUACAGUUUAUUAUGCAAUGAUUAAGUACAGAUAUCAGUCAUGGGUUAGCUUGUGGUCCCUCGGGAUCAUGGGUACCGUGUGGUAUUCCAGGUACCAGAUUUGGGGUGUUACAGCGGUUUAUACCACUACCUCAAAUGUGAGAUAGAGAGGUUGUUUCUGAUAAACUCCCAGCUCUAAAAAAAAUAAUCUAUACAAGGAAUAGUAAAAGGACAAGAUAUAAUAUGAAUCAACACAUCCAAUAAUACCAUAUACAAGAUACACCAACUAAUGUAACAAAAGAUACAACAUCCUAAACUCACACUAACCUUCUACCCUAAUCUGUCUCCUCUACAACUUCCUAUCUAGGGUCGUGUCCUCAAUAAGUUGUAGCUACUCCAUGUCAUGUAUAAUCACCUCCCUUUAAUUAUUAUUUGGUCUACCUCUACCUCACUUGAAUCCAUCCCUAUCCAACCUCUCACAACUCUUUACUAGGGAAUCCGUUCCCUUUCUCAUAUCAUGACUUAACCAUCUCAACCUCGCUUCCCUCAUCUUGGCUUCCACUAAAGCCACUCCCACCUUAUCUUGAAUAUCUUUACUUCUAAUCCUAUCUUUCCUAGUAUAUCGACAAAUACACAGAAGCAUUCUCAUCUCUAUCACCUUCAUCUUUUAGGAGUGGGCCUUCUUAACAGGCCAAAACUCCACUCCAGACAACAAAGCCGAUCUAACCACCACUCUGUAAAACUUGCCUUUAACCUUAGGAUUUACCUUAUUAUUGUAAAAGAUUUUUUAGGCAAGCCUCUAUUUCAUCCACCCUAUCCCAAUUUGAUGAGUGACAUCCUCGUCAAUCUGUUCAUUCUCCUGAAUCAUAAACCUUAGGUGUUAAAACUAUCUCUCUUAUUAAUAGAAUGAGUAUCAAGCUUAAAAAACACAUCGAGAUCAUGGGACACCUCGCUAAACUUACACUCCAAAUAUUCUUUCUUGGACCUACUCAACAUAAACCCUUUAGACACAAGGGUUUGCCUUCAAGCCUCAAAUUUAGCAUUAACUUCACUACAUAUCUCAUCAAUCAAAACCACAUCAUCUGCAAAAAUCAAGCAAUAAGACACCUCACCUUGAAUUUUACGCAUUAAAAAAUCCAUCACCAAGGCUAAAAGAAAUGGACUGAGCAUUAAUCCUUGAUAUAACCCUAUUAAGAUAGGAAAGUGCUCUGAGUCCCCUCUCCCGAUCCUAACCCGAUUCUUGGCUUUAUCGUACAUAUCCUUAAUCACCCUAACAUAUACCAUAGGUACACCUCUAGCCUCCAAACAUGUCCAAAUAACCUCCAUGGGAACUCUAUAAUAGGCCUUCUCUAAGUCGAUAAACACCAUGUGCGAAUCCUUCUUCCUUUUCCUAUACUACUCUAACAGUCUCCUAAAUAGAUGAAUGGCUUCAGUAAUCGAGCAUCCUUGAAUAAAUCCAAACUGGUUUUCAAAAAUAGUCACAAUCCUCUGCAACCUCAACUCUAACGCCCUCUCCCAAACCUUCAUAGUGUAACUCAACAACUUGAUACCCCUAUAAUUAUUACAGUCCUGAAUGUCAUCUUUAUUAAUAUACAACGUAAUCAUCGUACUCUACUUCCAAGACUCAAACAUCCUCACCAUCUUGAAAAUAGUGUUAAAUAUUUGAGUCAGCUACUUCAUACCUUCCCCUCUUGUGCACUUCUAAAAAUCCACCAAAAUAUUAUUUGGCUCGUCACUCUACCUCUACAUAUUCUAUGAAUAGCCUCCGUAACCUUCUCAACCUUAAUGUGCCUACAAUUACCAUAAUCGCAAAACCUCCAACACAAUGCUAGUAUCCCUUUCUUCAUUUAAGUUCUUAUAGAAGUACGAUUACUAUCCCUUUCUAAUACGACCCUCCUCCACUAAAACUUUGUCGUCCAUAUCCUUAAUAUACUUCACCUGAUCAAGGUCUUGACUCUUCUGUUCCCUAACCUUGGCUAGCCUGUAAAACUUUUUAUCCCACCUUAACUAUAGAAUAUUGUGUAUAAACUUUAGAAAGCUGCUUCCUUAUCCCUUAUGUCUGCUAACUUUGUCUCUCGCGUAGCAAUAUUAUAUGUCUCCCUAUUCUUCUAUUUAUCCUCUUCAUCCUUACUCUUUGCCAACUUUGCGUAUGUUUUCUUCUUAGCCUCCACAUUCUACGUUACCUCUUUGUUCCAAUACCAAUCCACUUGGUGCUUACCAGAGUGGCCUCAAGAAACAUCCAACACCUAUCUAGUUGUCUCUCUGAUGCAACUGGCAGUCUAUCCUACAUACUAUCAGCAUCCCCUCCAAUCUCUCAAUCUUUCCUCGCCAUCAAGUUAUCCGCUAUAUCAAGUUGAUACAAGAUGAAACUACAUAAAUGAAAAUGACAUAAAAACAAAGGAAACACACUAAAUAUGAAAUCACAAAAAUAAGAAAAUAAGGAAAUGGAACAAUAAAGUAAAAGAUAGAUAGAUUGACAUAAAUCGAUAAUGAGUAGACAACCAAAGGUAUAUUAAACCCUAAGACCUACCUAUCAAUUAUCGAUAACACCAACCUCUUACGAGGACACAAAUGGAAAUGGAUUCUUCAAUACCCACAUUUCUCAACAACUAAAGAAACUCCCAAUAAGUUUCAAUAAUAACACUCUCAAGUGUCAACUUACAUUCAAAAUCAUCUUCCUAAAAAUGAAGAAGGUCCUAGCUAUUUAAAGGUCAAAAGGCCUUCAUUAUAACUUGGGCCCAAAAGUCACCCUAAAUGCAACUUAGGCCUAAAAGUGACCCAAGAGCCAAACCAAUGCAAUGGGCACCCAUACUCUCCCAAAGCCCAAGACAUCAUCCAAAUGUGUGUCGCCCAUUUCUUCCUCAAAGGAUAUCACCAAAUAUAGCUUCUUUCCAAGCUAUCCACCAUUCACGUAUUUGAUCCCCUAAAAUGACCAAGUCUUGGAUCUGUAGAUGUGAUCCUUAAAGCAUCGAUCCCAAUAGAGUGGAGACCAUUGAUCUUGUAUCAUCCUUCCUUUCUUGAAGAGGAUUCGUCUUUGAAUCCAACUCCUUUAUCAACCUGUCGUUGCACCUUUCAAGUUUGGAAUCCUUUGGUAAGAAUUUUGUUAAGCCUUUAAGCUCAUUUUCAUAAGGCAUUCUCCUUGCAUCCUCCUUUUAGAUUGUUUGUUCAUGAACCUACAUAAAUAAAGGAGUAAUACUAGGUAAAAUGCUAGCAUUAUGGUUAGCAAGCAACAAAGGAUCCAUGUUGGAAUUGUCUUUUUCAAUUUGGGAAGACUCAUUGCUUAAUUGGACUUUGAUUAGUUAAACAAUGUCAUGUUGAGCUUGGCUUGUCUUUUUUUGGGUUGAGGAAACAUGUUCUUAAGGUCUUGGGGUACAAUUUUGAAGGUUAAGCCCCGGUGUUAGGUUAAUGAGUCGUUUCUCCAUGUUUCCCAAUGUAUCUUCAAUUUGUGUCAGGGAUCCAUUUAUUUUAUCCACAGUUCGCUACAUCCCUAUGAGAACUUCCAUAAGGGAAUCAAUGGUUGCUCCACCCGUAUCCUCUUAGAAUAUAUUGUAGAAAAGAGAGGAAGUAACUAUUGAUGAUGCAUUUAAAAAGUAAGGACUUGACUCAAUGACAUUGACAAAGAAAGAAACGAUAAGAACUCAACGAAAGAAUAAAAGACAAAACAAAGACUUGAAGGACUUGAAAUCAAAGUUAAACUAAGAAAACAAUAGAUAAAAGAGAGAAAACACAAGAAUUAAGACACGAAAGAAUAAUGAAUCAAGAACUAAUUGAACAACUAAGUAGAUUACGGUUUAGUUAUUAAUUAGUUUUAAGAAUCAAAGAAAUGAAAGGAGGAAUUAAGUGAUGAAAUUAAUGGUUUGAACCUAAUUUAAUGGAGUUUUUGAAGUGUUGAUAUGUGCUUUAGAGCUUGAACUGGUGUUGGAGAAGUGUUGAAAUGCGUUUGGGUGCGUUUAGGGGUUGUUUUGCAUUAGAACAUGCUAAAGUGGAUGUAGGGCAGACCGGGUGCACAUGGGAAGCACCACCAAUGUAGGAGCUACUGUUUUGGGCUUCCUUGGACCUACUUUAGUAGGUCAGGCGCAUCUCCAUGGUAGAUGCAAGGCAGAUGGGCUGAAAUCAGCUUGUACAAGGCCAAAAAUGCCCUCUUGUGGUUCCCCUUUGUUCUCUUCUUUAGAAUAUUCUCUUGGAUCUUCAGAAAGGUGCUUCUACAAACACUUUUGUACAGAUUUUUCUUCACUUUUGAUGAUCAAACAAACACUUUUUGAAUACAAUUCCUCUUGAAGAUUUGAAUUUCUCCAAGAGCACUUAAGAACACAAAAAACUUCAAAAAUCUCCAACUCUUAAAUCGUUGAUUGGAACGAGAUGAAAUUUUGAACCAAGGCUAUUUUCAACCUUCUAAACACAUUCCAAGCAUAAUUUUGUUCAAAUUCUCAAACAAAAAUUCCAUAUUUUAACUCCACUUUCAACCGUAAAACUUGAGUUUCUCAAUAAUGGUAGACCCUCCUAUUCACCUCCGAUUGAGCUGAAAUUCAAGGUUUAGACUCUAGUAGUAUUAGAGAACAAGAAUCUAACACCAAAACACAAGAAAAACAACAAAAUCAAUGACUUAAAAUUUGAAAUAAAGAUAAAAACAUAAAAGUGAAAUUUUUUUAGGAUUUUUUAUUUUCCAACAUGACACACAAGAUUGACUUUAUGGGAAUGAAAUAAAUCUAGGCUCUGAUACCAAAUGAUACAAGACGAAAGUACAAAAAUGGAAAUGACAUGAAACAAAUGGAACACACUAAAUAUGAAAUCACAAAAACAAGGAAACAUGGAAAUGGAAUGAUAAAGUAAAAGAUAGAUACAAAAAAAAAAAAUCCAGUGUAUUCCCACAUAGUGAGGUCUGGGGAGGGUAAGAUGUACGCAGUCCAUACCUCUACCUCUAAAGAAGUAGAAAGGUUGUUUCCGAUAGACCCCCGNNNNNNNNNNNNNNNNNNNNNNNNNNNNNNNNNNNNNNNNNNNNNNNNNNNNNNNNNNNNNNNNNNNNNNNNNNNNNNNNNNNNNNNNNNNNNNNNNNNNNNNNNNNNNNNNNNNNNNNNNNNNNNNNNNNNNNNNNNNNNNNNNNNNNNNNNNNNNNNNNNNNNNNNNNNNNNNNNNNNAAACUACCCGUAGCCUUCUGCCCUAAUUCGCGUCCUCCAGAUCUUCCUAUCUAGGGUCAUGUCCUUAGUGAGCUGUAACUGCUCCAUGUCCCUCCUAAUCACCUCUCCCUAAUACUUCUUCGGCCUACCCCUACCCUGCCUAAAACCAUCCAAAGUUAGCCUCUCACACCUACGAAUGGGGGCAUCCAUGCCCCUCCUCAUCACGUGUCCAAACCAUCUCAAUCGGACUUUCUGCAUCUUAUUCUCCACUGGAGUUACCCCAACCUUCUUCCUGAUAGUCUCAUUCCGAACUCUAUCCUCCCUAGUCAGCCCACACAUCUAACGCAACAUCCGUAUUUUCGCCACCUUCAUUUUUUGAAUAUGGGAGUUCUUAACUGUCCAACACUCCGCUUCAUACAACAUGGCCGAGCGGACUACCACCCUGUAGAAUUUGCCUUUAAGCUUGGGCGGCACCUUCUUAUCACACAAAACCCCUAAAGCGAGCUUCCACUUCAUCCAUCCCGCCCCAAUAUGGUGUGAGACAUCCUCAUCAAUCUCACCGUUACCCUGAAUCACAGACCCGAGAUACUUGAAACUAUCCCUCUUACAUACCACCUGUGAUUCUAACUUCACUACCACCUCAUUCUCCAGCCUCACGUCAUUAAACUUGCAUUUCAAAUACUUUAUCUUGCUCCUACUCAACCGAAACCCUUUAAGCUUAAGGUUUUGUCUCCACACCUCUAAUUUAUCAUUCACACCCCCCCACGUAUCAUCAAUCAAAACUACAUCACUUGCAAAAAUCAUACACCAAGGAAUUUCUCCUUGAAUACGCCAGGUCAAUACAUCUAUCACCAAAGCAAACAAAAAGGGACUAAGAGUAGAUCCCUAAUGCAAUCCUGUCAUGAUAGUGAAAUGCUCUGAGUCUCCUUCCGUCGUCCUCACCUGAGUUUUAGCUCCAUCAUACAUGUCCUUAAUUGCUCUGAUAUAUGCCACCGGGACUCCACUCAUCUCCAAGCAUCUCCAAAGCACUUCCCUGGGGAAUUUGUCGUAUGCCUUCUCCAAGUCGAUAAACACCAUGUGCAGGUCUUUCUUCCUUUCCCUAUACUAUUCCACCAGCCUCCGUAAUAGGUGAAUUGCCUCCGUCGUCGAGCGGCUAGGUAUAAAUCCAAACUGGUUCUCCAAAAUAGACACUAUCCAUCUCAGCCUCACCUUGACCACUCUCUCCCAAAUCUUUAUAGAGUGACUUAAUAACUUAAUACCCAUAUACUUAUUGCAACUCUGAAUGUCCCCCUUGUUCUUAUAAAGAGGAAUCAUAGUACUCCACCUCCAAGCCUCAAGCAUUUUCUCCAUCUUGAAAAUUUCAUUAAAUAAUCCAGUCAACCACCUUAAACCAGCCUCGCCAGAAAACUUCUAAAAAUCCAUCGGUAUCUCAUCGGGCCCCGUCGCCCUACCCCUUCGCAUCCUGUGAAUAGCCUCUCUAACCUCCUCUACCUUAAAAUGUCUAUAAUAACUAAAAUCUCGACACUCCUCUGAGUGCUCCAGCUCCCCUAACACAAUAGCUCUAUUCCCUUCGUUAUUCAAGAGCCUUUGAAAAUACGACUGCCAUUUAUUCUUAAUGUGGCCGUCCUCCACCAACACUGUACCGUCCUCCAACUUAAUGCACUUCACCUGGUCAAGGUCAUGACCCUUCCUCUCCCUAGCCUUAGCGAGUCUAAAUAAUUUUUUUCCCCUCCUUUCUCCUGUAACCCCACAUACAAGCUCUCAAAAGUUGUCGUCUUAGCCACCGUAACUGCUAACUUAGCCUCCUUCCUAGCUAAUUUGUACUCUUUCUUGUUUACCCGCUUCUCUUAUUUAUCCUUACUCUCAACCAACUUAGCAUACGCCCCUUUCUUGGUUUCCACUUUCUUCUUAACCUCUUCAUUCCACUACAAAUCCCCCCAAUGAUGCCCGGACAAGCCCCUAGAAAUACCCAACACCUCACUAGCAUUCUCCCUGAUGCACCUAGCCACCCUAUACCACAUACUAUCCACAUGCCCACUACACUCCCAUACCUCCAUUCUCGCUAACUUCUCCCCUAUCUCCUACGUAUUCACUGGCGUUAAGCCGCCUCACUUAGAUCUAGGUCUACACUCCUUACUCCUUCUCUUCCUAUCCUUCUUUAUACCCAAAUCCAUAACCAAGAGCCUAUGCUGGGUCGAAAGAUUCUCACUCGGAAUGACCUUACAAUCCUUAUACAACACCCUAUCCCCUUUCUUAAGCAAUAAAAAGUCAAUUUGAGUCUUGGCUAUUGCACUUCAGAAGGUGAUCAGGUGAUCGUCCUUCUUUGGGAAGCCCGAGUUCACCACCACCAGCCCAAAGGACCUCACAAAAUCCAGUAGAGUGGACCCCUCUUCAUUUCUUUCCCCAAAACCAAAACCACCAUGCACAUCACUAAAGUCUCCCGGUAAAGCCCCUAUGUGCCCAUUGAAAGCUCCUGCUACAACAAUCUUCUUCGAGCUAGGCACGCCUCUCACCACCUCAUCCAAAGCCUCCCAAAACUGCAUCUUCUCCUCCCCAUCCAAGCUCACUUAUGGUGCAUAAGCACUACGUUCAGGGUAAACCCCCCAAUGACUAACUUAAUAGUCAUCAACCUAUCGCUGAUCCUCUUUACCUCUACUACCUAACCUCUAAGCUCUUCAUCUACUAAGAUGCCAACUCUAUUUCUACGCCUCUCACUCCCAAAGUACCAAAGCUUGUAACCAUCCAUAUCCCUAGCCUUAGACCCUACCCACUUUGUCUCUUGAACAAACGCAAUAUUAAUCCGCCUUUUUCUAAGAAUCUUCACAAGCUCUAUGGACUUACCCUGAAGAGUCCCUAUAUUCUAAGACCCGACUCUCAGCCUACCAUCUCUAUCAACACGUCUUCCUCUAUCGCCCCUGAGGCCAAACCUUGGCCUCCCUCCCACUCCCCUUUUUUUCUCUUCCCCCGCCCCCACAAUAGCCCCCUGCCCCAACCCCCUCGGACAUAACCCUAUCCAACCAUCAACGCCCACAGCCACUACUACAAGAAAAUAUAAGAAAAUAUAAACAAUGGUAGUAACAAAGUAGUAGCAGGAAAUACAAGGCUCACACAAAUUAAAAGAAAUAAUCAAGAAAUAAAACUAAACUCAAAUAGGGAGAAAAAACAAAACCGAGGUAAGGACAAAACAAACAAUAAGAAAAAUAGAGCACACUAAUGGCCUGGCACCAAGGAAAAGACAAGGAUAUGAAGAAAUCAAACUAUAUAAAGUUACAAAAGAACCAAAGUUCGGAUGUCAGAUGCCUCCGUGCUACUGAUCCGGCAAGGUUAGUGUUAAAAAGUGUUUGUCGGAAUAAGGUCGACGGGAAAGAAGCCGCUAGUUAUAUCACCGAAAUAUCCCCAGAUAUUUGCCGAAGCUUCUUCAAAGACAUUAGAAUCUGGAUAUCAUCGAACAUCGGCCUACCUGUUAGGCCACUGAUGAGUACCUCCCCCGUUACCUGAGUCGAACCGGCAGGAACCCUAGCCCACCAGCGAUAGCUGCAAUGGGAUAAGAAAGGGGGUGGGGGUGGGGGAGAUGAGAAUAAGAAACUGGGAGAGAGAGAUUUGAAGAGUGAGAGAGAAAGAGGGAGAUAGGGUAGAUCUUGUACGCUUCUGGAACUUCUGCGUCGUCGCCGGCGUUAGAGUUUGCCUAUCAGUCGAGGUGGUAACAUUAAAUUAAACGUUAGAGAGAGAAGAAAGAGGUUAGAGAGAGAAAGUUAGGUCCUCAACCAAAGGGUAUAUUAAACCCUAAGACCUUCCUAUCAAUUACCAAUAAAACCAACCUCUUACGAGGACACAAAUAGAAAUAGAUUUUCGAGCACCCACAUUUCUCAACAACUAAAUAAACUCCCAACAAGUUUCAGUAAAAACAAUCUUAAGUUUCUUUGUUUUGAUCCUCUUAACCUCUACCACUUGCUUUCUAAGCUCAUCAUCUACUAGGAUACUUACACCAUUCCUGUUCCUCACGCUUCCUGAGUCCCACAACUUAUAACCAUCCACUACCCUCGUAUUAGUACCUACCCAAUUGGUUUCUUGGAGACAAGCUAUAUUAAUAUGCCUUUUACUAAGAAUUUUCACUAGCUAUAUUGACUUCUCUGAUAAAAACCCUAUGUUCCACAACCCUACUCUCAACCUAAAGUUACACUUAUCCCUUUUACCCUUCCUACCCCCUUAUUCUGCCCCAGCCCCUGCCCUGGCCUACAACCCCAACCCAAGCCUUGUCCGAAGACAUGACCCUAAGAUAACACCAUCUACCACAGCCAUCAGAAACUGCACCAACCAAUAACACUAAGAACACACAGCCUAGAUAAUAAUUCAAACCAUAAAAAGGUACUAUCAAGCCCACGCUAUAGAACUAUUAGGAACAACAUAAAUGACUAAAACACUAGUAGAAUUAACAACACCCUAAAUAAUAGCCACUACUAUGAAAUAUAGAACUAAACAAAUAAAUUGCCACCUAUAAGCAAGAUAGUCAUCCAAGGCACAAUGAAAAAUGGGAUCAAAAUAAGAAUAAUACAUAAGAUAAACAAUAACAGCUGCUACAACCAAAAAAUCUAUACAUAAGACACUAGAAGAGAUAGAGCAAGUGCACCUGAUCGAAGCUACGACAAAAAUUGGUCACCAAUUUACUUGGUUGAGUCUAUGGAUUCUGACAAGUGUUGACAAAAAUUAGUCACCGGAAUCGUGUUGUUGCUAUCGAAGAAGGAAUCCCAGAUCUAGAAUUGUAGUACCUAUAAGAGGGUAAAAAAAAGAAAGAGAGAAAAGAGAGAUGCUUGGAAAUGGGUUGCUGGGAAUGAGGCACUGGAAAAUGCACCUAUAUUAACACUGAUAUGAAGAAGUCACCAGUAGAGAUAAGGUCGCUGGUAGAGAAGAAGUCACCGACAGCGAGAGUCACCAAUAAAGAGAAGAAAGAUUUCAAAGAGAGUCGACGGCAGAAAGUAUGACGUUUAUCAAUUAGACAAGUUGGAUAUUAUAACUGACAUGCCUUUUUGUAAAAGUUAAAAUAACCUACAAUGGCAAGUAGUUUCAAGGGUAUAGGAUGCGUUAAACCCAUAUUCCCCUUUUAGUGCUAGAUACUACUCCAAAAAUUAUAGUCACGACCUGAUUUAUGAUUCAUGAUGGUCCUACUAAAUCCAGCCAGUAGGUAAGCCAAUACCUUAACCCAAAGUUAACAUAAUGGGUUAAUUUGAUAGGGAAAUACCCUGCAUAGGCCAAAUUUAAUGAACACAAGUCAUAAAUAAACAAAGUGUUUUAAAUUGACAAAUAGUCAUCAUAAGAUACCAAUUCUAUGACUUGGUAGAGCCACUACAAGAGCAUCUAAUGUCAAUAAUACAACCCAAAAGACUUAUAAUAUUGUCAAUACAUCUAUCUUGAUACUAAAUACUGAAUAACAAUAAGAUAGAUGGAAAUAGGUGACUCAAAACUCCAAGAUCUCACCCUAUCUCCAAAAGAUCAACUCUAUACGAACAAUACUCAACAGGUAUAGCUAGUACUCAAAUUUACACCAAAAGGUACAAAAGUAUAGUAUGAGUACUGAAACAAUAGGUAUUCAGUAAGCAUCAUUGGCCAAUUGAGCUAAGUCAUGGUAUAAAAAUAAUAUAAUGGAAGAUAAAAUAACUAGGUCAAGGUACAGAAUCAAACCCGAAUCUUCUCCAUUAUCAUUGUGCACAAUUAGUACAUAACUAAAACAAUAAUAAUAAUAAUAAUAAUAAUAUAAUGUAAAGAAUCAAGAUCAUGCAAACAUAACUAUAAAAUUGGCUCCCAUAUGCCAAUUGGUGCAAAAAGUAAAGAACUUAUCACAACAUCCCAUACUACUGGAGAGUACACUCAAGAGAAAAUAAAGCAAACAUUCAACAUUAUAUUUAACCUGCAUCAUCAUUCAACCAUCACUCCAACUUUUAUCAUUAUACGGCAUUGUACCACCACUUGGCAAUUUACCAAUAUUAUACCUACUAUAUGUAGUUUUGAUGAUGACCAGCUAACUGCAAGGGACCAGGUCCCUCGAUGUACAAGUUACAAUACAACUGGCACGUGUUGUAUGCACAGUUUUGUCCUUUUGAGUAUUAAACUUGCAGGUGCUAUUUUGUACUGAUUAGGAAAGAUGGUCCAAUGAUUUUUCAUCCCUAUCAUCACUCAGCUAUAUAAGUAAAGAGACACCUCUUCAUUAAAUGAGGUUUUGCACAAAUCUAAAACGUGAAGUAAAACAAAAAACUCCAUUUUCAAGAUUGCUCAAGCAUUGCUCAUGUUCUUUUCUUUGUAAUAUGCUUAAAGAAUGAGUAAGUAUUCUUGAGUGAUGAUUUGUAACUAAACUACUCAUGCUAUAAGAGUAGUAUUUUUCACUUUGAGUAGAAAGUGCUUAGGCAGAGUUGCUUAAGUGUGAGGCUGAUUAGAGUCAAUCAGUGAAGAAAUCCUUAGUAGAGUUACCAAGAUGAGUUUGUAGUAGAGUUAUUACAAGAGAAGGAAGCCAAGAGGUAGGAUGAAAUCUAGACUGUAAUCAAGAGGUUGAUUAUAGUGGAUUUCUUUGGGGUUUGUGAGGGUAAGCUGUGGUUUUUCCCUUCCAGGGUUUCCACGUAAAAAUUUAUGUGUUUUUACUCUUUCUGCAUUAUUUGUUACUUUCUAGUUAUUUUUGUGUAUUUUGCCUGUGAUUACUUUUUAGGGGUCUGGUCCCUCACUAUGUGGUGCAACCCUAAGAGUCCCUACAAUAACAUAAUCCACUAUUCAACUACAACUUAUUUAUUAUCACAACCUUAGAUAUCAAUUGACUCCACUUAUCUACUAAGCAUAAAUUACUUACGAGGUCUUUCUUCAUGAUUACUCAACACUUAAACAUUUCAUCAUGUCAUAGUGUAUACCCAAACAUGAACAAAAAAAAAAUAUUUAGUCAUCAAUAGCAUAAUAAACAAGGUAAUCAUGUCUCAUAUUUACCAACAAUAUCAUCAAGUACAAAGAUUUUUCACCAUCACCUCAAUAACACUUUUCAAGAGUCUAAUAGGCAUAAAUAUUCACCAAAGCUAACAUGUUUCAUAGCCUAAGGUGGGUUAGGAGUCCACUUUAAUCCUCGAGUUCCAAUUUUUUCUAUUUCUACUUGUACUAGGCUUAUGAUAUUGAAUUAUAAUUUUAAGAUGUCAACAAGCCUUAAUAUUCCCUAAGAUAGGGAGUUUUCCUAAAAGGUGAGGAACUAGGUUAAUUAUGCCUAAUAUGAUUAACUUAAGUCAUUCAUCUACUAAGCAUGAAGGAUAAAGUCUAAUUCACCUAAAUCUCAAGGGAACAAGCUAAAGGAUUCAAGCUUAUGGUGUCAAAAGAGCCUAAACAGCUCAACUAACCCCAAGACUAGUAAUUCAUCAAACCAAGACCUAAAACCCAUCCCAAUCAAACAUAAUAUCAUAAUUAUACUAUGAAAUAGUUUAAUCUAACAAGGGUUAAACCUAGCCUACCUCAACCCAAAAGAAUGCUCAACAAUUCUCUAAACCAUCGCAUUUCCCUUUUUAUAAGCCUCUUCAAGAUGCCAAGCUAUCAAAAACGCAUUUCACUCAUCAAUAUAAGAAUAUCGAUACCAAUAUUGCACCAUUAUGCUUUGGGUCCAAAAAUCAUGCCAAAACCCUAUGUGGGUCCCACUCAUAAAAAUCAUGUUUUAGAGACUAGCCCAACAUGAUAUCAAGCUCAUGGAAUCAAAACCCUCAAAAAUAGGUGAAAACCAAGCUAAUUUGGGCUAAAAUAAAGCCCUAAAGGAUUUGGGGCUUUGGUCAAAAAUUCCAAAAAUUCAAGCAUGAUUUUGAAGGAUUCUUACCUUAAAUCUAAAGAUAUUUGCGAAAAUAUAUGUUAAUCAAGCUCCUAAGUCAUACCCAAGACACAAUUCUAAGUUAUCACACUCUUUUAGGGUUCUUGGCUCUCAAGGAUGAGUGGAAAAUGACCAAAACGUGGCCUAAGGGGUCAUUUUAUACCCAUGCCAGGUGUUUAGGAAUGACUAUCGCACAAAAGGGUAUGAAAUCACACUACUUGAGUGUAGGAGCAGGCAUGUCAUUGCCAUCCUCCCUUGUACAAUCUCAGUACUUGCUGUCAGCACAGCUGACAGUUAAAACUUGGAGAUUUUCCAACUUUUCACUAAUGCCUCAGGAUUCAUUCAGAAUCUGAUUUAUGCAAACGAACUAUGUUACCACACUAAAUUCGAUGUUCCAUACACAAUGGCAAAGUUGGAUUUUCCAUUUGAGGUAAUUUCAACCAACUAUUGGUCCCACACCCAUAAUUUAAAUUUUCCAACUUUUCGACCAAUAGGUCAAAAUGAGCUUAGGUGCAUCGGGACCCAAACCAAAGGUCUACCUAUCCUAAAAUUGAUUUUUUGAGUUGUUGGUAAAGUCAAAAUUUGUAUCCAAGAUUGUUUUACUAAAGUUUUCACUUGGUGGCCAUUUGGAACCAGCGAAUACUUCUAAACAAAUAAUUGGAUUUAAAAAACAAAUGAACUACUCAGUAACUGAACUGUCAGCUCCAACAAGUCAUAAAUGACAGAGGUAGCUAUGGAAAAGCUCUAACAACAAUAAUAAGAGGAAAUAAAGAAAAUGACCUAAAGGGUCAUUAUAAUAUCCACUACUAAAGGAACUUUUGUCCCUGAAAGUGAAAGAUUAAUAAAUACCUGAAGUCUCAAACAGGUGAGGAUACUAGGACCACAUCUCGCUCUCGAUCUCCCAAGUGGCCUUCUCCAUUUGGGCAAUGUCUCCACUGAACCUUAACUAUAGAAAUCUCCCUUGUGUGCAACCGCCUCACAUCACUCACCAAAAUAAACAAUGGCUCCUCUUUAAAGGUCAAACGCUCAUCCAACUAAACUAAGUCCCAUCUAAGCACAUAAGACGAAUCGAGAAAUAUCACCUCAACAUAGAGACAUGGAAAGCCAAAUAAACUGUGGAAUAAUCUUGAGGCAAAGAUAACUCAUAGGUGACCUUACUAAGUAUGUGAAAAAUGUCAAAAGGUACAACAUAUAUCGGACUGAUCUUACCUUUCUCCUAAAACUUAUCAUACCCUUCAUAGGUGAUAGGCAGAGGAAUACAUUUUUACGAACCUCAAAUCUCAAGCCACGAAGCCUACGGUCUGCAUAUGCCUUAUACCUACUCUGAGCCACUCUAUACCUAUCCUAAAUCACCCUAACUCUAUCCAAUAACUCUAGAAGCAUACCCAUACUACAGGGCCUAACCUCAGAGGUCUCAAGCCAUCCAAUCAGACAAUGACAUCUCCUACCUUACAAAGCCUUAGAAGGCUCCAUCUUAAUACUCAAACAAUAGUUAUUAAUAUACAUGAACUCUGCCAAGUCUAAGUAUUAUUCCCACUGGCAUUCAAAAUCCAUAACGCAGUCUUGGAGCAUAUUCUAAGUCACCUGAAUAGUCUAUGCAGAAUGAGAUGAAAGAUUAUACUCAAAUCCACCUGACUGCCCAGCUCCUCCUAAAAUGCUCUCCAAAACCUCAAAGUGAACACAAAACCAUGAUUUGAAAUAAUAAAAUGGGUCCCCCAUGCAAACAAACUAUCUCUCGAACAUAGAUUUGGCCUAAUCUCUCAACAUUGAAAGUCAUCUAAAUUGGAAUGAAAUAUGCUAACUUGGUAAAAUGACCCACAAUAAUCCAUAUACUAAUGAAACCACUGGAAGAACGAGGCAAACCGCUAAUGAAGUCCAUACUAAUUUGUUCCCAUUUCUACUAAUUAAUGGGAAACCUUUGAGUCAAACCACCUGGUCGCUGAUGCUUGGCCUUGACUUGCUGAUAAUAGAGGAAAUAAGCUAUAAAGUCUACCACAUUUCCACUAAUAGUGUUGUCUCAAAUCUCUAAACAGCUUGGCUGUGAUAGGGUGGAUAAAAUAUCUAGAACUAUGAGUCUUAAUUAAAAUUAACUGAAUCAAGUUUAAAUCUGAGAAAUAUAAAUACGGCAAUCAAAUCUCAAAACACCCUCAGAACAAUGGUGUGUCUCUCAGACUCGCCACUCAAUACUUGAUCUCGAAGAAAGCAAAGCUUACCAUCCUCAAACUGAUGAUCUCAAAUCUGCUCAAAGAGUGAGGACCUUAACUCCACACUAGCCAAAAUCCUCCUAGGAUCUAAAAUAUUAAGGUAAACCAUCAAGUUAACCAAGGAUUGAAUAUCUCGUGCUAAUGGCCUUGAAAUGCUGAAAUACAAGCUAAACUGUCCAUACUCACUGCCUUACGACUCAAGGCAUCUGCUACCAUAUUUGUCUUGCCUUGCUGAUAUAAGAUGGAUAUAUCAUAGUCCUUAAGCAACUCCAUCCAUCUAUGUUGUCGAGCAUUAAGCUCUCUCUGGGUUAUUAGUUAUUGAAUACUAUGAUGAUUAGUGAAAAUCUCAUAAUGCAUACCAUACAAAUAAUGCCUCCAAAUCUUAAGCAUGAAAACUAUCGUCGCCAACUCUAAAUCAUGUGUGAGGUAGUUGCACUUAUGUACCUUAAGCUGUCUAGAAGCAUAAGCAAUAACAACUCUGUUGUAUUAAUACACAACCUAGCCUAACACCAAACAUCUCACAAAACCCGAUGAAUCCCCUACCUCAAUAGGAAGAGAUAACACAGAAGUUGAAGUAAAAAAGUCCAUGAUCUUUCCAAAGCUCAACUCACACUCCUCGAACCAUCAGAAAGGAACCUCCUUUCGAGUUAAUCGGGUCAUAGAGAUUGAAAUAGUAGCAACACCCUCAAUGAAGCAUCUAUAAUAACCGGCCAAACUAAUGAAGCUAUGAACCUUAAUAGGAGAUUUAGAUCUAGCCCAAUCAUUCAUUGCCUUAAUCUUGGCAGGGUCUACUAUAAUUCCUUUUUUAGACACCACAUGUCUAAGAAAUGUCACUGACUCAAGCCAAAACUCACACUUGGAGAAGUUGGAAAAAAGAAAAUAAUCCUUCAAAGUCUGGAGCACGAUUCUUAAAUAUUGAACAUUUUCCACUCUACUACUUGGAUAUACAAGGAUGUCGUCGAUGAACACAAUCAUAAAAAAAUACAAAUAAGGGCUUAACUAGUGACUACAUCAAGGGAUCUUUCCUACUCCUAGCGAGAUGAUGUAGCAUAAAACUAGUUCUAAUACUGAUUUUCACUAGUAUUGGAAGUUAUGCUCUACAACAGAAGUAGGUGGCCCGACUGAGCUACUAAAGUAGUGGGCUGAGCCUAAUCGCGAACAUCUCUGUUGCCCCUAUUUGUGAAGAUCCAGUCCCUCAUAUGGUCCAUCUUUCCACAUAUAUAGCACCCUAUUCUACCAGCCAAAUACUCACCUCAAUAAUUUCCACCAUAUUUCUUGCAGAGUGGAUAACUAGAUCCCUCAAUGCUAUCCUAGGAUUUAGAAGUCGGUGCUCUACCACCAUACUCAUACUUAUUUCUAGGUGUAGGGGCACUGGCUGCGGACAGUGAAGUGCUAAAGAAUGGCCCUAAAAUUAAGAAUAAUUUUCCCUCCUAAUCUCUACUGCCUAUACUCAAACUAAUCGAUCCUAACCCUUUUAUUCUCAUUCUUUACUUCAUUUAAGCAUGAGUCAAAUAAGCAAUAUCCAUAUCCUCAAUCAACAUGGCAUUCCCAUACUUCUUGACUACCAAAUCAGACACACUAGUGAUAAUAUUACUCAUACGAGCUCUAAAAUCUGGAAACAAUGCUAGUACAAACUUACCUAGCUGAGUGAACUUAGGAGAAUACUCAUUCAUCAACAUAGAGCCUUGUCUCGAGUUUAUAAACUCAUCUACCUUAGACUCUCUCAUAUCCCUAGUAAAGAACCUAUCUAGAAAGUCAUUUGAAAUGCAUCUCAACUUAUAGAAGCUUUAUUCUUACCCCUACUUUUCUUUCAUAUAGUAACCCAGUCAUAAGCAGCAUCUUUCAAUUGAUAAGAACCCAAUUCAACACUAUUCUCUAUAGUAACAUGCAUAAUCUGGGUAAUAUUUUUUAUCUCAUCAAUGAAAAACUAAGGAUCUUCAUUCAGCUUUGACCCAAAGAACUUAGGUAGGUUUAUUUUCUCAAAAUCCUGAACAAUAGUUGCAACUAAGUUACUAUUCUUCUGAAGUGAGAUUGAUGAUGGUUGAUUACCUUGAGCAUUUGUAUUCACAUCUUGAGAAAACACUUGGAAAGAAUCCUGAAACUCAGCUUGAGAGAUAUUUUAGUUCUAAAGGUCUUUAGGUGUGGUUGGGACUCGUUGAUCCUCAUUUUUAUGUGCAUAAGCUUGAUGUGCUAUGAAUUUAUAGCACAAACGAUGCUUAAAAUUAGAUAAUAUGCAUGUAAUUAAGGCUAUUUUGUUGGUUUUUAUGUGUUUGUAGAGUGAUUUUGCAAGAAACUAGGUUUUGGAUGCUAAAUGAAAGAAAAGGAAGAACAUUUGAGUUUUUAGAUACUUACCGAGGCAUUUUGGGGCAUAAGUGCCACUUACUGAGUGUAGGUGAAAAAAAUAGGUGCCAGAACUUGAAGUCCAGAGGAUCAGAAGUAGGAAAAAAAUAUGUUGUCACUUACCAAGGGCACCUAUGGUCUGUAUAUACUAUAUACAAUCCAUAGGUGACCUAAGUAAGUGUCAAAGGGUCAAAUCUAAAGAGUUUCAUGAUAGAGAAGGAGGUAUAGCACAUAUCAAGGACCAUAUGUGGUUCGUAUGUAGUACAUAUGAUCUGUAGGUGGCCUUUGUAAGUGUCCACUGACCUCAACUUUUUUUGGAUCAUUUCAAUAUUGUUACCUACGAUUUCCAAUGUAACAUAAACCUACUUCGAUGAUGUUUUUAGUCCUUAUUAAGCAUGUUUAGUUAAGUUUUCCUAUUUUGGUUAGGAUUUGAAUUCUAGGGUUUCUUGUAAUCUAUAAAUACCCUUUACACUUUGUUUAGUAAGAGGAUGCUAAUUUAGGCCCUUUGUGGCAAAGUUCACAUUUUUUACUAACAUCUUAUUGUUCUUAGUAUGUUCUUGGUUUGUUAUUCAAUUUAAGACUUUGGGAUUUCUUCUUUCAUUACUAUGAGAUUGAUUCUAUAAGUUUGUCUGUAGAUUCCAUGAUUGAUCUCACAACUAUGAGCGGCUAAUUUUCUUAGCUAGGGUUGUGGGAACCCUGGUGGAUUAAUGAAGUAGAGAAAGUUCUAAGUUGUUAUAUGUAAAGAUUCUUGCAUGUAUUAGAUUUUCUUUGUUCUUAAUGAUAUCGUAACGGGAGCACAUAUUAAGAUCCCACCUAGAAUAUCACUACUUACUCUAUAAGAGGAAUAGUGACUAGGAAAAAGAGAUCACAAUGGUGAUUUAAGGUUAACUGGUGAAAUAAGCUUACAUGUACUAUUUUCUUAAGAUGGUGAACUUUUAUCUAAUAUCUUGAGACUUAAAAGGUAAAAGUUAAACUGAAUCUAAGAUAAGGGUUAGUAAGGUGACACCCUGAGACUCAAAAGGUAAAGAGUGAGAUCCGACAAUAAGUCCACAAGAUAGUUGAUGGUACAUAACUUAUCAGAUUCUAUAUGCAAGAUCGAAAUAGUUUGAUAGUGCAUGAUAACUCUGCAAAGUUGAGAAGCCAGGUGGAAUAUAAGCCUAGUCUUUAUCUUAGAUUAUUUACAAUAAAAAACAACCAAUUCUCGCCCCUUUUACUAUUUCAGCAAAUCCUUUCUUUUUACUUUUCUGCACUGCCCAGUGAUUUAAACAAGUUUGAGAAUGAUUUCUAACGUAUUCUUUAUGGCAUCGACCCCAACCUAGUUGGGUUACUAUAUUUUGAUAGCGAGUGCUUUGUCCUUCUAAGGAGGGGUAGUUUGGGCAUUACCAAGUUUUAGCAUCGUUACAAGGUAAUACGAUUGUAGAUUGACUGAUUGGAGUUAUUGACAUUGUUAGGGUUUUCUUUUCUAUUCUUCUUCAGGCAUACACUACAAUGUGCCUACUCUUCUUGAUAUGACAAUUUGGCCAAAUGAAGUAUUGAGUGAUGAAGACUUCUUGAUUAUUAAUCCCUAUCUUUUUGAUAUGGUAUGUUAUUACAGGAGUAUGGUAGAUAUAGUUUGUAAGCACAAAGAUAGCCUAUUGGAAACACUAACACAUAUUUAAAAAGUUGAUAGGUUUGGCAUAAAUAUUUAUCAGUUACCACUUACUAGUAGAUUUGGAUGUAAAAGUUGUUACAUCUAACACCCAACAACUUAGUUAUAGCUGGUGUGAGACUGGAAAAUUCUGAGAAGCCAACUUGAAGAGCUAAAAUUAGAGGAGCCUAAGAUUUCUCAUACUCUUAUGGAUAGUAUCACUCCUAAGGAGAGCAUACUAGAGUUAUGUAGGGAUGUAAAUAAGACUUUGGUUCCUGAAGUGGGGCAUAUUGGACCUCAUUCAAAAUAUUUCUCCACAUUAUGUUUGGAUAUUCAAAUCUGGUUCGGUCCAUCUAAACUUGAAGAGGAGUGCAAUAAGGAGGAAAUAUAUGUCUACAUUCUUGAAUUUAUUGAGCUAUAAUCAUAAAACUAUAUUCCUCAUGUAAGGGCCAAGAAGUAUAAUAUGUCAUAUCUAUUUAUUUGGUCUUUUAUUUUUAUACCUCUGCCCCAUGAGAAUAAUGAGAUACCAGAAAAAUAAUUAAGGGUGUAAUUUAUAAGUUCAAAGUAGAAAGAGAAAAACUAGAAGCCAACUCUUGGGCUACCUUAAUGAAUGAGUAAUCAAGGUACCCAUGGACUUGUUGGGGAAGUCAGAGUACCCAACCAAGCCCCAUCAUGAUGCGACAUUAAAACAGGCACUGCUUGGGAGGCAACCCAAGGUAUUUUGUUGUUUGUAUUUGUGAUAUUAUGAUUAACGUUGAAUCUGCGCACCUAUGGUGCCACAGGUAUGUUUCUAACUCUCUUACUUUGUAGUGUCCCAAUGCAUUAGGGACAGUACAUGAUUUUAGGUUGAGGGUGGGAUUGUUUAUGGGUCUUGAUAUCCUCUUAGGGUUUUGUUGUCGUGCCUCUUUUCCUUGGAGUCCUAUUCCAAGUAGAGUCGCCAUGUUUAGGUGUGUUGUGUUUUGUUUUAUGAUGUUCUAUGUUUAACUAGCAGAGAAAUUAGUAUUCAAGGAAGUUGAUAUAAAGUGUUGAAACUGAUACCACUUAACUAUGUGAUAUGUAUAUAUAUGUGUGAAUAUUGUGAAUCUAGUUAUGGCAUUAGGAUUAGGGAUAUUAUAAUCACUGCUAAUAAUUGCAUGAACCGGACAAGUAGUAGCUUAUGAUGUAACCCUAUGCCAUGUGUGUGAGAGAUACUACUUAGUUCUCUUUGUGUGUUCAAUCUAGAACUUGCUCAGUUAGUCUUGGCUAAUUUGAAAGAUAGUCGGUUAGGAAAAGAUCAUAGGCCAUUUUUUAAAUUAGUCUAUUUUAGCCAAAAUAACCUUCCAUGUGUGAAUUAGUAUCCCUUGAUCCUGAUUUUUAAGCCAUGUAUACACCUUUCACCUUUUCAUUUGUGUUACAAUGAACCUAUGUUGGCUCUGGUCCUCCUUGGACAUUAUGCACCUUAACUCAGGAAAAUUGCCUAAGUUAAGGGUCGUCAUCAUAGGGGUACAUAAUGUAAAAUGGGUAGAAUAAGAGAAAAAGAUAGUAAGGCUGGGUGUGGUAGAAAAAAGAAAAGAAAAGACAAAUGAGAAAAAAUAAAAAGAAAGGAACAAGAGAAAAUAAUAAAGAAACCACACCCAACCUGAAUAUGCAAUAAAAGAAUAAAAAGGGAGAAAUAAGGGUGGAAUAAAAAGAUAUUGGUAGAUAAGUGGACCCCAAAGUUAGUGUAGUGCCAAGGAAGCUUAGUCACUUGAUAGAUCCAUAUGUACCAUACCAACCCUCAAGCCUACAUUACAAGUGGAAUAAAGUCCUAUAGUGAUCCUAACUAAUGUAAAAAAAAUAAAGGCAAGCCUAUGAUAUUUGAUGCGAAUUAGUGGGACUUCUCUUGUGAGAGUGAGUGUCUCUUGACUGUCCUUGAAUUAACAUGUAUGAUUUCAUAUGAGUGAGUGGGACUUCUUUGUUGUGAGGGCACAUGGGUUGUAUUGCUAGCUGCUUACUUGUUUGGGUAGUGUAACUUGUAUAUAUGCAUGAUUGUAUGGUGUUAAUGUAAUACCAGCUUGGUUAUAUUGUGUCACAGUGUUGUGUUUCAUGAAUACGCACAAUUGGUUUUAAAGUAUUGAACUUGUAGAGGGUAAUGAUCUUGAGCUUAAAUUUGAUAAUUGAUUUCCAUAGAUAUCUUAGGUUUCUCUUGGUUAAGCAUCAUCUUAUUGUUUUGUUAUGUUUUGUUGCCUGAGGACAUGCAACGUUCCAAGUUGAGGGUCUUUAUGUGCUAUGAAUUUAUAGCACUUACAAUGCAUACACUUUUAGAAUAUGCAUUUACUUAAGGUUAUCUUGUUGGAUUUUAUGUGAUUUUAGAGUGAUUUUGCAGGAAACUAGGUUUUGGAGGCUAAAUGGAAGAAAAGGAAGAAAAUUAGAGUUUUUGGCUACUUAUCAAGCCAUUUCUGGGAAAAGUGCCACUUACCAAGCAUAGGUGACCAAAGUAGGUGCCAGAAAUUGAAUUCUAGAGGCUCGGAAGCAAGAAAAAAAAGACUCAAUCAUUUACCUAGGGCACCUAUGGUUUGUAUGCGCUACAUACGGUUAUAGGUGACCUAAGUAAGUGUCAGAGGGUCAAAUCCAGAGAGUUCCAAGAUAGAGCAGGAGGUAUGGAACUUACCAGGGACCACAUAUGGUCCGUAUGUAGUACAUAUGAUUCGUAGGUGGCCUUUCUAAGUGGCCACCGACCUCAACUUUUCUGGAUCAUUUUGAAAUUGUUCCCUAUGGUUCCCAUGUAACCUAAAACUACUCCUAUGAUUCUUUUAGUCCUUAUUAAGUGCAUUUAGUCAAGUUUUCCUAUUUUAGUUAGGAUUUGAAUUCUAGGGUUUCUUGUAAUCUAUAAAUACCCAUUAUACUUGGUUUAGUAAGGGGAUGCUAGUUUAGGCCCUUAAAUUAUUCACAAACAUUUUAUUGUUCUUAGUUUGUUCUUGGUUUGUUAUUCAAUUUAAGACUUUGGGAUUUCUUCUUUCAUUAAUAUGAGAUUGAUUGUAUAAUUUUGUAUAUGGAUUCUAUGAUUGAUCUCAUAACUAUGAGCGGCUAAUUUCCUUAGCUAGGGUUGUGGGAACCCUAGUGGAUUAAGAAGUAGAGGAAGUGCCAAGUCGUUCUAAAUAAAGACUCUUGCAUGUAUAGUGUUUUCUUCGUUCUUAUAGAUGGAUGGAUGGAUGGAUGAAUGGAUAGAUGGAUGGAUGGAUGGAUGGACGGAUAGAUAGAUGGAUAGAUAGAGAGAGAGAGAGAGAAAGAAAGAGAGAGAGAUACAUAUACAUAUAGAUAUAUAGAUAUAUACAUUUGUACAAAUAUGUAUAGAUAUAGAUAUAUAGAUAUAUACAUUUAUACAUAUUUAUACAUAUAUAUCGAUAUACAUAUAUAUAUAUAUAUAUACAUGUACAUAUAUAUACAUAUAUACAUGUAUACAUGUAUACAUAUAUACAUAUAUACAUAUACAUAAACAUAUACAUAUACAUAUACAUAUAUGUGUAUUAAUUUAAAUAGAAAUUGUAUAUUUAUUAUGUCUACAUAUUAAUUAAUUAUACACAAUCAAAUAUUCAAAAUACAAAUAAUCUUAAUCAUCUAGCAUUUAUAUUUAGCAACAUCUUAAUCAUUUAGAUGUGCAUUCAGAUUCAGACAUCUUUGAACAUGUUUGACUAAGCUUAUUUUUUUCCUAAAUUACUUUUUUCUAGAAGUGUUCAAACUUUUGAGAGAAAUAAGUGCUUUUAGGGAUAAACAAAAGCUAUUUGCAGAAACUGAUAAAGUAGUUUCUUUCUAAAAGCAUUUAUUUGAAAAACACUUUUAAGAAAGAUACACUUAAAAGCACUUUCAUAAAGUCUGGUCAAACAUCAAUUAUUACUUUUGAAAAUAAAUUAUUGGCGAAACACAAACUAUUUCUCUCUAAAAAGCACUUUUAGAAUAAACACACUUUUAAAAAAUAAAAAAGACUCAAAUAUGCCAUCAAAUUAUUAGAAAUGACUCAUCUAUGCUAUUCAUUAGACGUUUGCCUUAUUGUCAAGAUCCAAUUUUUCAAGUCAUGAUGGCACCUUAUAAUGCCCAAAAUACCCCUCCUUAGAAGGAUAAGGUGAUUGAUGUCAAAAUAUAGUAGCCCAACUAGGUUGGGGUUGAUCCCACAGGGAAUACGUCAAAAAUUCUUUUCGAACUUGUUGAAAUCACCAGGCAGUGUUGAAAAGUAAAAGAGGGGAUUUGUUGAAAUAGUAAAAAGGACAAGAAUUGGUUAUUUUUGGUUGUAAACAAUCUAAGACGAACACUAGGCUUGUGUUCCCUUGGCUUCUCAAUUUCAUAUAUUUAUCAUACAUUGUCAAACUAUUUUGAUACCUUACAUGCAGAAUCUGAUAAGUUAUGUACCAUCAACUAUCUUGUCGACUUAUUGACAAAUUUCACCUUUUAUCUUUUGAGUCUCAGGGUGUCGCCUUAAUAACCCUUAUCUUGGAUCACAGUUUAACUAUUACCUUUUUGGUCUCAAGUUAUUAGAUAAAAAUUAACCGUCUUUAGAAGAUAGUACAGGUAAGAUUAUUUUGGCAGUUAACCCCAAAUCACUGUUGUGGUCUUCUAUUCCUAGUCACUACUUCUCUUGUGGAGUAACUAAUGAUAUAAUAGGAGGAAUCCUAAUGUGUACACCCAUUAAGGAAUCAAUAAGAAUGAAGAAAACCCAAUACAUGCAAGAAUCUUUGUUUAGAACGACUUGGCACUUCCUCUACUUUGUUAAUUCGUCAGGGUUCCCACAACCCUAGCUAAGAAAAUUAGCCACUCAUAGUUAUGAGAUUAAUCAUGGAAUUCACAGAUAAAAUUACAAAAUCAAUCUCAAAAUAAGGAAAGAAGAAAUCCCAAAGUCUUAAAUUGAAUAACAAAACUAAUAACAAACUAAGAAUAAUAAGAUCCCAAGAUUACAAGUCAAUCUUGAAAUCAAAAGAUGUUUGUAACCUUAGCCCCAAAGGUCCUAUGCUAUAAAACCCUCUCAAUAUGAGAAUUAAUAAACUAAACAAAUCUUAAAAGGUAUUUAUAUAUUAUAAGAACCCCAAGAACUCAAAUCCUAGAUAAAAUAGGAAAACUUGAUUAACCGUACAUAAUAAGGACUAAAAAUAUCAUAGGAGUGUAUUUAGGUUACAUGGAAACCCUAGGAAUCAAAGCCCAAACGAAAAAAGGAAAAACAAGAUUGGUGUACACUUACUUAGGCCACAUAUGGACCGUAUGUACUACAUACGGUCCGCAUGUAGACCUAGGUAAGUGCCAGAAAUUUGUCUUCAGCUUCUGCACUUUUUAGAUCUUAGAUUCUGUCACAUGCCUUUGUAAUAUACAGACUGUAUAUGGACAUAGGUAAGUGUAAUUUCCCCUCCAUCAGAUAGAUAAUUGAAUUAACUUUCCAAUGAGACCAAUUUUGCCUUAAUCUGAUAUUAGGGUGAAAAGUGAUGGCCAAAUUACUGAAGCACUGUCAGAACUGCCAUUAACCACGACCCUUUCUUUUUUUCUGUUUUUAAGCCUCUGGACUUCAAGUUAUGGUAUAUACUUUGGUCACAUCCGCCUAGAAAGUGCCACAUAUGUGCAAAACCGCCCAAGUAAGUAUCCAAAAUCUUCAUCUUUCAUCUUUUUCUUGAGUUUAGCAUCCAAAACUUAAUUUCCUGCAAAUCAUACCCAAAACACAUCAUAUCUAACAAAACAACCUAAGAAACUUACAUAUCUUCAUAAUUUUAAGCGUCGAAAAUGCUUUAAAUUUAUAAAAUAUCAAUACCCUCAACUUAGAAUAUUUGCAUGUCCUCAGGCACCAAAACAAAACAUGACGCUUAUCUGCGAGAAUUUAAGGCAUCCAAGGCAGCCAAUCAACAUUUUAGAUUCAAAUUCAUUAUCCCCUCUUAUAUCACAGUUAAAACCAUGUGUAUACAUGAAGCACACUACUAUUACAUAAAGAAAUCAAGUUAUGGCAAUUACAUUAGCAACAAACAAUGAUGCAUAUAUACAAGUUACAUUUACCCAAACAAGUAUGUGAUUAGAAAUACACCCCAUAUGCCCUCACAUCAAAAAAGUCCCUCUCACUCAUAUAGGAAAUCGACCAUAUCAAUACAGGGACAGUCAAGAGAGACUCACACUCACAAGAGAAAUUCAACUAAUGACAUCAAUUACCAUAGGCUUGCUCUUAUUUUCUUUACCUAAGUUUUCAGACAGUCAAAUUAAGAUCACUAUAGGACUUUAUUCGGCUUUUAAUGUAGGCUUAGCGGGCUGGUAUAGUAUAUAUGGAUAUAUCAAGUGACUAAGCCUCCUUGGAGCUACACUAACUUUGGGUCCACACUUUAACCAAUUUCCUUUUUAUUUCCACCCUUAUUUCUCCCUUUUUACUUUAAUGCACAUUCAGGUUAGUUGUGGUUUCUCUUAUUCAUUUUUUUUCUUUCUUCCAUACCCGCCCUACUUUCUUUUUCUUUUAUUUUUCUUUCUUCACACCCACUUUACAUUAUUCACCCCUAUGAUAGCCACCCUCAAUUUAGGCAAUUUACCUGAGUUGAGGUGCACAAUGUCCAAGGAUGACUAGGGCCAAAACGGGGUCAUUGUAAUACAAAUGGGAAGGUGAAAGGUCAAAACAAAUAAAUAGGCUAUAAGAAUCAAAACAUGGAUCAAGGGAUACAACUUCACACUAGAAAGGUCAUUUAGGCUACAAAUGGACUUAUAUCAGAAAUGGCAUACGAUCCUUUCGUAACCAUCCUAAAACCUAAGCAAGACUAAUCGGGCAAGUUUUAGAUUUAAAACACAAAGGAAACUAGGUAGCAUCUCACACACAUAUGGCACAAAGUCACAUCACAAGAUAAUACCUAUCCGAUUCAUGCACAAGUUAGUUAAGAUUAUCAUAUCCCUAAUCUAAUGCCAUAAAAAGAUUCACAAUAGUCAUGUAAUAUACAAUCACACAAUUCAAAAACAAGCAAUUAAAAGGGGUAUCAUUUUCUCAAGAAAUGAUCAAAAAAAAAAUAUGUCAACUACCCUAGAUACUCAUUUUUCUCCUACUUAAACACAAAAUAUCACAAAACAAAACACAAUAUGCCUAAACAUGCAGGCUUUACUAAGAACAGUACUGUGGGAAAAGAGGCACGGCAACAAAAACCAUAAGAGGACAUCAAGACCCACAAGCUGCCCUACCCUCAACUUAAAAUCAAGCAUUGUCCUUAAUGCAUUAUACUGCUAAAAAACAAGAGAGUUAGAAACAUACUUGUGGCACCAUAGGUGCAAAUAUCCGACAUCAAUCACAUCAAUGUGAAUACAACAACAAAAUAACUUAGGUUGUCUAUCAAGAAACACCUGAAUUUAUGUCACAGCAUGACGGGGUUUGGUUGGUACUCAGACUUCCCCAACAAGCCCAUGGGUACCUUGAUUACUCAGAAUUUGUCAAGGUAACCCAAGAGUUGGCCUCCAAUUUUCUCUUUCCACUUUGAACUCAUGAAUUUCACCCCUAAUUGUUUUACUGAUUUCCCAUUAUGCUCAAAGGGUGGUGGUAUACAAAUAAAGAAAACACGUAAUAGAUAAGGUAUGUUGUACUUCUUAACCCUUAUGAAAGGAAUGUAAUUCUUUGAUUCUAGCUCAGCAAAUUUAAGAAUGUAGACAUAUAUUUCCUCUUUCUUGCACCCUUCUUCAAGUUUAAAUGGCUUGAUCAAGAUUUGACUUUCCAGACACAAUAUGGAAAAACACUUCAAACGAGGUCCAAUAUGCCCUAACUCAAGAAUUGAAGUCUUAUUUACAUCCCAGAUAACUCUAGUAUGCUCUCUUUAAGAGUGGCAUUAUCCAUAAGAGUAUGAGUAAUUUUAGACUCCUCCAAUUUUAGCUUCUUAAGUUGGCUUUUCAGAAACUUUUUAGUCUUACACCACCCAUAACUAAGUUGUUGGGCAUUACACACAGUAGCUUUUGCUUUUAACUCUACUUGUAGGUGGUGAAUAUCUAACACAAACCUUUCAACCUUUUGAAUAAGCUCAUAAUUAUUGUGUACAAGGUGUCAGUGUUUCCAAUAGGCUAUCCCUGUGUUCACACACUAUAUUUACCACACUCCUACAAUAAUACACCAUAUCAAAAAGAAAAGGAUCAAUAAGUCUUCAUCAGUCAAAAAUUCCUCUAGCCAAGUUUUCAUCUCAAGAAGAGGUAUAGGAAAACAAACAAAACAAAAAUAUAAAAUCCGAUAACUCCAAUAACUUCAAUCAAGAACUCUGAAAUCGUAUUCCCUGGCAAUAGCGCCAGAAUUUCAUAAUGGACAAACUACCCCUCCUUAGAAGGAUAAAGUGGUCACUGUCAAAAUAUAGUAACCCAACUAAGUUGUGGUCAAUCCUACAGGGAAUACGUCAAAAAUCCUUUUCAAACUUGUUGAAAUCACUAGCAAAUACAGAAAAGUAAAUAGGGGGACUUACAAAAAUAGUAAAAGGGAUGAGAAUUGGUUGCAUUUGGUUAUAAAUAAUCAAAGACAAACACUAGGAAUGUGUUACCCAAUGCUUCUCAAUUCCGCAAUUUAUCAUACAUUGUCAAACUAUUUUGAUAUUUUGUAGACUCAUCGAUGAAUUUUACUUUUUACCUUUUGAGUCUCGGGUGAGCCUUACUAACACUUAUCCUAGAUUCCAAUUUAACUAUUAGCUUUUGGUUCUUAAGUUAUUAGAUGAAAAUAAAUUGUAUUAAGAAAAUAAUACAAGUAAGCUUAUUUUGGCAGUUAACCCCAAAUCACUGUUGUCGUCUUCUUUUCCUAGUCACUACUCCUUUUGUGAAGUAAGUAGUGAUAUCCUAGGUGGGGUAUUAAUGUGUGCGUCCACUAAGACAUCAAUAAGAACGAAGAAAACUCAAUACAUGCAAGAAUCUUUAUCUAUAAAAACAUAGCACUUCAUUAAUCCACUAGGUUCCUACAACCCUAGCUAAAGGAAUCUGCUGCACAUAGUUAUGAGAUCAAUCAUGGAAUCCACAGACAAAAUUACAAAAUCAGUCUUACAAUAAAGAAAAAAGAAAUCCUAAAGUCUUAAAUUUAAUAAUAAAACCAAGAACAAACUAAGAACAAUAAGAUCCUAAGACCACAAGUCAAUCUUGGAAUCAAAAGAUGUUUGUAACCUUAGCCCUAGGGCCUAUGAUAGAACACCCUCCCAAUAUGUGAAUAAAUAUACUAACAAAUACUAAAGGGUAUUUAUAGAUUAUAAAAAAUCCUAGAACUCAAAUCCUAAAUAAAAAUAGAAAAACAUAACUAACUGUACAUAAUAAGGACUAAAAACAUCAUAGGAGUGUAUUUAGGUUUCAUGGAAACCCUAGGAGUCAAAGCCUGAACAAAAAAAGGAAAAACGAGGUCGGUGGCCACAUACGGCCUAUAUGUACUACAUACGGUCCGUAUGUGAACCUAGGUAAAUGCCAAAAAUUUUUCUUCAGUUUCUGCACUCUCUAGAUCUUAGAUUUUGGGACAUAGCUUGGUCACAUACCGUCCAUAUGUGGACAUAGGUAAGUGCAAAGUCCUCACCAACAUAUAGAUAAUUAAAUUAUCUUUCCAACGAUAUCAAUUUUCCCUUAAUCCGAAAUUGGGGUGAAAAGUUAUGGUCAAAUUACUGAAGCACUGUCAGAGUUGCCAUUGACCACGACCCUUUCUUUUUUUUUUUUGCUUUUGAACCUCUGGACCUCAAGUUCUGGUACAUACUUUGGUCACAUCCGCCCGGUAUGUUCCAUAUACACCCAAAAAUGCCCAAAUAAGUAUCCAAAAACUUCAUUUUUCAUCAUUUUCUUGAUUUUAGCAUCCGAAACAUAAUUUCCUGCAAAUCAUACCCAAAACAUAUCAUAUCUAACAAAACAACCUAAGAAACUUGCAUAUUUUCAUAGUUUAAGUGUCGAAAAUGCUAUAAAUUUAUAGAACAUCAGCGCCUAUUAUAACCCACCAGCAGACAAGCCAAACCCGUUAUCCGAAACAACUAGUAAUAAACAACUCAAAUAGAUGAAGGAAAGAAUGUGGAAUAUCUGAAAUACAAGAUCAAUUACACAAUAUAAUCCCAAGACCUGGUGGUAUUAGUACAAGAGCUUCUACUUAAUAAGAUUUCAAGUGAAAUACAAUUUAAUACACCGAUACAACUUAUCUCUGAGUAUAACAUAGAGACUAGUCUAGUAAAUAAGAGAGAGAUGAGUAAUACUCCGAACGUUAGGAGCUCACUCUAAGUCUCCGAACCAUGGCUGCUCUAAACGAUGCACACAUCAAUGGUGAUAACCCGUACUUAUGAUCUGAAGGCUGCAGAAUUAUAGUGUGAAUACCAAAUACGUGGUACUCAGUAGGCAACUGUCGACUGAGCUUCAAAGAUAAUGCAGAUAUAUGUAACAUAUAAACAGAAUGGAAAAAUACACCCAAAUGUAUAGGAACCAUAUAAAACAACCAAUGACAUAAUAAGGAUAAACUAUCAUAUUCAUGUCCAAGAGACUAACGUAUUAAAGCUAAGGAAGUAGUAAGAAUACACUAUCCUAUUCUAGCCAAACUUAGAAACAUCAAUACUGUACCAAAUAUCACUGGCCAAUAUGCAAGUAAGAGUGGAAAGAAGAUACAUAUAAGUAUACAAGGCUAAGGAAUGAGUAUAUGAUCAGAGUAAAUGAAGGAAAAGAGGUAUAUACGGUAAUACCAUAGCAAAAUAUAGCUAAGUAUGCACAUGCACUUAUAUAUAUAUAUACAUAUAUAUAUGUAUAUAUAUGUAUAUGUAUAUGUAAUGCCCAGGAAAUACACCCUAGACGUCACACGGUGCUCAAGACUACAAGUAGUCCCAAGUUAAUGCUUUAAGCCUUCUAACAACUUUGGAGCUUAUAAUAAAGAUAACUUGACAUAUGAAAUCUCGAAAUAACUAAAUUAAUGUCUUAACUCAAAAUCUUAAACUUAGAAAUCCUAAAAUCAGCACUUUGAAUCUAAAAUAAAAAAGUCAGACAAGCCUCUACCUCUAACUAGAGAGCCACUGGGAUAAGCCUCGGCUGACUCGAACUAACCAAAAACAAAAUGACUAAAAUACUUUAUCAAUAAUAAUGUCUGAUAAAAUGGAUCCUCAAACUAUGAGGACUCACCAAGCAUUGGGAUAUAGGUGGAGAUACCCGUAAUUAAUCACGCUGCUGGAACUGAGCACCAGAACCUACAUUAUGAAAUAAUGUAGCACAUAAACGUAUAUGUGGAUCAGUACUUCUAGAAUGUACUGAGCACGUGGGGGUGAAUGCAUAAGUAAAUCAAUAACUCAAUGUGCACUUAUAUUUUCAAAUAAUGCAUGUUAAGUGUAAAUGAAUCACCUUGGGCUUGAAUUAAGCAAAAGUUGUAAAAUUAUAAACAUGCGUAAUGAAGCAAAAUGAUAAACUUUGUGAGCCAUAACACUUGGUUCUAAAAGUUUUACUCUUAUUCUUUCUUAGGGAAGUUCUUCUAACUGACAUAAACUAUGUGAGAUAUCAUAGAGUCCAACGACUUGCCCACGUUAGGGAGAGUUGUCCUACCCUUGCCAUCGGAAUAGGACUUUAACUUAAGUGAUCACUAUCUGUAACUUAAUCCAUAUUGUGAAUAAGCUUAACCUACGUUGGCUCUCCGUUAUGGGUCAUGUGACCUUGGAUGCAUACCCAACUCGGUGCUAAAUACUACUCUCGUAUUACUAAAUGCUCAUACUUUAGGAAAUCCACCUUAAAAUAGCAUAAGGGUUUAUAAUGAUGACGUAGCCCGAACUGGGGCAUUGUCGUAAUGGGAAUCCCAAGUCCAACUAGGACCAGGGACCGCCCCCUUAACCCAACCCAACCACUGUAUACCACCUUGGAUGAGCUAAAUUUUGAACAUAUAACAAGAUUCCGUAAUGCUCUCAUGAAGACUCUGGGAUAGGGUCACAAUCAUAACCGACCCAAUCGAUUCUAACCAUACCAGCCAACCAUCCAUUCUAUACCAAACUAUUUAGAAAGUAUCAAACAUAAUAUGAUAAUCAAACCCAAAAUGUAAUAUAAUAGAACAACCAACUACAUUGUCCAAUGAUGUCAUCCCCAACACCAAUGUCAAUGCUAAGGAUGACUCCAAUAUCGAUCCUACCCAUACCAACCCCAGAAAUACCACAAGACCUUUAUCCAAAAGAACACAAAUAUUCUGUAGGGAUAUGCCCCCAACCAUGGCCAAAACCAAUAUCUGGAAAGAAAGUAAAAUAUCUAAGAAUGUCCAACAUGAACUGAUGCCUUCCAAAAGGAUGGAAGCUCACUAUUUCAGUCCAAUAAGUUAUCCCAAAAUCAAGUACUAUGAAGAAAGAGUUGAAUAAUCGUUUCCUACAUAGCGUGAGUAUAUAGCCGCUAGUAGACGGGUUAGUGGGUGAACACUAGCAUGAAACUCGGGAUAAGGAUAAAGUAAUGCCACUUAUCAAAACUAAGUGAAAAUCAUCCAAUGCAAAAAAGGGUCGGGUUUAAUAUGACAUUUAAAACCUUUACCUAGGUUGUGCAUCUUAGCCGUCCUACCACCCACAGGCCAUAUGGGUUCAGCUCCCCCUGCUGAAACGGUCCCAGUAGGUAUAGAUGCACGACCAGGAAAUAUCCCUAGGAUAACAAGAAUAUCCCUCAAAUAUAAAUGUGACACUCAUAUGUGGACAUCGAAGACCCCUCAUAUUAGCAAAUAUAAUUUUUUGAUUUUGAUCCCCCCGGGAUCACCACAUUCUGUGGCUUAGCUUACACUCUUCGCUAUUAAUGCCUAAUUAAAACCGUUAACAAAUAAUCCAAUUAUCCAUUUAUUAACCAAGGCUAUUCAAUAAACCAGUGGUAUCGUCAUGCCACCAUACUUGCAAGCAUUAUCCAUAGCCAAACUAUUUAGAUUAAGAGGAUAUUUAAGUGCCCUAUCGAACCUCUUGAGAGACUACCAUGUUCUCCACAAGCAUAACCAAUUAGCCUUAAGCCUUUGUAAACCACUUGAAAACAUUUAAGGUUUCAUGCAUAAGCCGAAAAUAAGCAAGAGUUCCAUUAAAUAAGCCAAUGCAAUGAACAUAUCUUUAUAAGCAUUUUAUCAAACACCUUGGGGGAUAAUAUAACCAAAAUUAAAUUCCAUUACCAUUAAACCAUUACUAUGUAAUUCAAAUUGUCCAAAACCACCGUUAAUGCAUAGAAAACAUAAUUAAAACCAUACGAAAUCAUAACUAAGCAUUUAAUAUCAAAACCCCCAAAUCAAUAGUUGAAAGUCAUAAUCAUGCAAGAGAAAAACCAUGAAAUCAACCAUGUAACCAUGACUUUAAUAUAAAUUACAAUUAGGGAAGAGAAUCAUACCUUAUGCCAAGAAUAUUGAUGGAAAGAAUUAACCAAGACAAGCCCCAAAGUAAUCGCUUAGUUGAAACCCUAGCUCUUUGUCCUAAAAGCUCUUGAGAGAAUUAUGAUAUGUUUAGGAAGAGUUUCCAAGUGUUUAAAAAUAAAAUAAUAGGGAAAAUAACCUCCUAACUGUAUUAGAAGUCGUGGGUAUAUAUUAGGGUAAGUAGGAAAAUGUCCAAAAUACCCCCACUUAAAUCUCAUAAAAAAACAAACACAAGGUCACAACUGACCCCCUUACGAGUCGUAACAUCCCUUACGGUUGAUACCCACCCGAUCAUGACCAGACCUCAACUAUGGAUCAAACACUAUCCAGUAUAUGACUCAUCCACCCAAGUCGUAACCUCAGCAUAUAAUCAUACCCAUAAUCCUUAUCCCUAGCAGAAUGCAACACCAGGAGAAUCAAACAUUGUCUACCUUAUAAGUUACCUGUACAACUCGUACCAAACCAUAUGACACUCACCCCUAAGUCGUAUCCAUUGCAAUAAUCAAAACCAUCCCUCUAAUUAACAUUGAUCAGCUUACGAUGGGAAUUCGCCAGUCAUACCCCAGCAUACGGCUCGUACCAUGAGUCGUAUUAGGUUCGAAGAACGGGAUUAUAGAAAAUUUUCUAAGGGUCCAAACUCGUGAUGCUUCAGUCUCCCCAAGUAGGAACAUUUGUCCCCGAAUGACGAAUAAAGUAGUGGUAACCACACACAGGGUCAUUUGCAUUAUCAAACAUCAAUCCCACCUCUUGAUGUCUCUACUCUUACCUUUACAAAACGAAAAACAAAGAUGCAAGAGAUGCAACUCUUCUUUUAACAUACUCAGAAAAUAAAGAUGUGUUCAAGAACACAUAUCUUUCGCAUGAAUAUCAAGAGCAGAAAACAAAAGUAGAUACUCGAACUUUACAUCCUCCCCCACUUCCUACAUGGACUUUUCCACCUUGUAGUUCUGCUAUAGAACCUUGACUAAAGCCAUAUCCAUGGUCCGUGACAGACGAACCUGCCUAUCCAAUAUCUCAAUCGGGACCUCUUAAUAAGACAAAGAAUCUGAGAUAUCCAACACCUUCAAAGGAACAAUUGAAGACGGAUCACGAACACCCUUCCUCAACAUAGAAACAUGGAAUACUAAUGAAUCAAACUCAAGCUAGAUGGCAACUCCAACUUAUAUGAAACAUUGCCCACUCUCCGCAAAAUCUCAUAAGGUCCAACGUAUCGAGGACUAAACUUUCCCUUUUUACCAAACCGCACUACUCCCUUCAUAGGAGACACAUUAAGAAAAACUUUAUCCCCAACUGCAAACUCCAAUUCUCCACGCUUAGCAUCCGCGUAGGACUUUUGACAACUCUGGAAGCCUUGAGACUAUCCCAAAUUACCUUUAGCAUUUCCAAAGCUUGACAAACCAAAUCCAAACCAAAUAAAUCAACCUCGUCGAGCUCAAACCAACCAAUAGAAGAUCUAUACCUUCUACCAUACAAUGCCUCAAAAAUAGCCAUACCAAUACUUUUAUGAUAGCUAUUGUUGUAAGAAAACUCUACCAAAGGUAGAUGCUCCACCCAACUGCCACCAUAAUCAAUCACAUAGUCUCGAAGCAUAUUUUCCAAUGUCUGAAUAGUUCUUUCUACCUGCCCAUCCGACUGUGGAUGGAAACUAGUAUGCAGACUCACCUUAGUCCCUAACCCUUUUUGGAAAGACUGCCAGAAGUAGGACGUAAACUGCAUACCGUGAUUAGAAAUAAUUAAAAUAGGCACCCCAUCCAGUUUCACAAUCUCUUAAAGUUAAAGCUUUGCAUAAUCCUCCCCCAAAAAUUUAGUCCGCACAGGCAAGAAUUGUUCAGACUUUGUCAUCCUAUCCACGAUGACCCAAAUUGAAUCAAAUUGGUUUUGAAACCAAGAAAGACUGGUAAUGAAAUCCAUAUUGAUCUUACCCCACUUCCAUUCAAGCAACUCAAUUUCCUGAUACAAAAAACCAGGCUUCAUAUGCUCAACCUUAACUUAUUGAUACACUAUGCAUUUGGACACAAAAUCAACCAUGUCCUGCUUUAUUCUACUCCACCAAUAGAUCUCCUUAAGAUCAUGGUACAUCUUAUUAGAACCAGGAUGGACAAUAUAGCGCGAAUUAUACGCCUCAUCCAAGAUCCUUUACCACAAACUGUUUACAUCAGGAACACACAACCUCUUUUGGUACCACAAAGUACCAUCGCUGGUAAUCUCAAAAUCUGUCACCUUUCUCCCACCAAUACUACCUUUGAUUUUCAUCAAGGUAGGAUCAAACACUUAUUUCUCUUUAAUCUUUGCACCAAGAGAUGAUCUAACCACUUCUUGAACCAUCACACUACCAUCCUUGGAAUCCAUGAGAUGAACCCUAAAAUUUGCCAAACGGUGAAUAUCCUUCUCCAAUUCUCACUUUCCUUCCUCUAUAUGAGCCAAACUACCCAUGGACAACCUACUAAGAGCAUCAGCAACCACGUUAGCAUUACCUGAGUGGUAGUAAAGACUCAUAUUAUAGUCCUUGAGAAACUCAAGCCAUCUCCUCUGCCUGAGAUUAAGCUCUUUCCAUAAGAACACAUACUGUAAACUCUUGUGAUCAGAAAAGAUAUCUAUGUGAAGACUAUACAAAUAAUGCCACCAUAUAUUCAAAGUAAACACAACGUCCAGUAGCUCCAAAUCAUAAGUAGGAUAGUUCCUCUCAUACACCUUUAACUGCCUGGAAGCAUAGUCUAUCACCUUCUCAUGUUGCAUCAACUCACAACCAAGACCAACCCGAGAUGCAUCACAAUAAACCACAAACCCAUCAUUGCCUUUUGAUAAGGUCAGAACUGGAGCCAAAGUCAACUUAUCCUUUAACUUCUCAAAACUCCCCUCACACGCAUCUGACCAAGAAACUUAACCUUCUUCUGAGUUAACUUAGUCAAAGGAGUAGCUAUCAAUAAAAAACUCUCCAAAAAUUGCCUAUAGUACUCUACUUAACCUAAGAAGCUCUGAAUAUCAGAUGGAGUUGUAGGUCUAGGCAACUUCUUCACCACAGCCACCUUCUGUGGAUCCACCAUGAUCCCUUCACUAAAAAUGACAUGACCCAAGAAAGACACUACAUUCAACCAAAACUUGCACUUAGAGAACUUAGUAAACAACUAUUAUUCCUUUAAGGUUUGCAACACCACACGAAGGUGAUUAGCAUAACCCACCUUACUCUCUGAAUAUACCAAAAUAUCAUCAAUAAACACAAGGACUAAGAGGUAUGAAUACUAUUGAAAUACCCUAUUCAUCAAAUCCAUAAAGGCUACCGAGGCAUUUGUCAAUCCAAAUGACAUCACCAAAAACUCAUAAUGCCCAUACUGAGUGUGAAAAGUUAUCUUAAGGAUAUCCACCUCCUUAAUCUUUAACGGAUGGUACCCAAACCAAAGAUCUGUCUUAGAAAAGAACCUGGCACUUUGGAACUGGUAAAACAGAUCAUCUAUCCAGGGAAGAGGAUAUUUGUUCUUGACUGUUACCUUAUUCAACUGCCUGUAGUCGAUGCACAUAUGAAGAGAACUAUUUACCUUAUUCAACUGCCUGUAGUCGAUGCACAUAUGAAGAGAACCAUCCUUUUUGUGCACGAACAACUCUGGUGCACCCCAUAGAAAAAUGCUAGGACGAAUAAACCCUUUGUCUAAAAGAUCCUUAAUUUGCUCCUUGAGUUCCCUUAACUCAGUCGGGCUAUUAUAUACGGAGGAAUAGAAACUGAAAGAGUGUCCAGAAGCAAAUUUACCAAACUCUAUUUCCCUAUCCAGAGGAACACCUGGAAGAUCAUCCAGAAAGACCUCUGUAACUCCUUAACUAUCAAAACUGACUGCAACGAAGGACCUUCCGAGUUAGAAUCUUAACCCAGACCAAGUGAUAAAGACAACCCUUAGAGAUUAACCUCUGAGCUUUAAGAUUAGAAAUAAAAUUCCUUUUUGGUGCUAAGGAACAACCUUCCAAAUCUAUUUUUGGCUCAUCAGAGAACCUAAAAAUGACCCUACGGGUUCGACAAUCCAAAUUUGCAUAAAAAGAAUGCAACCAAUCUAUGCCUAAGAUUACAUCAAAAUCUACCAUACCCAACUCAAAUAAAUCUGCUGAAGUCUAUCUACCACUCACAGAUACCACACAUCCCCGAUAGACUCACUCGACAAUGAUCGGAUCUCCUAUUGGGAUAGAAACAAAAAAUGGAUCCAACAUAAUCUCCGGAUCAAAACCAAAAAACAUAGCUAUAUAAGGAGUCACAUAAGAAAGGGUAGAACCCGGAUCAAGCAAACAAUAUACGUCAUAAGAUAAAAGUUAUAACGUACCAUUAAUGACAUCAGGCGAUGCCUCAGAUUUUUGAUCAAACGCCAAAGUAUACAACCUAUUCCGACCAUCAUUAAAACCAGGAUCAGUAAUAGAAGCAGAUGCCACACCACCGAGAGUAAGAACAAAAGAUGAAGCCAUCAGAAUCUUAUUCACCCCCAUAGCAACUUUGUUAGAUAAAUAAUCCCUGAGAUGAUGGCUUACAUGGCCACACUUGAGGCAUUUAUCCCUUCCCUCCUCAUAGAAUUAUCGAUGAGGACGGUCACAAAACCGAUAAGGAGGACAUAAAAAAAUAAACUAACCUCUAUUUUUCUGAGACUGGGCUCCUUGUGCUCGAGACUUGUCGCCACCAUAAUAAAUCAUCUCGCUCGACUGUUGGGGGUAAAGAGCACUGGCAAUAGAGAAGGAACCAGACAUAGUACGUCUUUAAGAUAAUCAGACCAAUAUACGACUUAGGUACCUAGACCAAUCACCACAUCAUACGACUUAUGGCAUGAGUUGUAAGAUGAUCAGAGAGUUUAAAAUUGAGGAAAUUUACAAAGGUAAAGGUUCGGAGCAUUUCAAUCUAUGCCACUAGGAUCAUUUAUCCUCAAAGGAGGGGUUUAAGGCAACACAAGAAUGAAUUAACAAAUUACUACCCCUCAAACUUCCCUUUAAUAAUCUCAGAAAACAAAGAUGUUAAGAACAGCACAUACCUUAAGCACGAAUAUCAAGAACAGGGAACAAAUGCGGAUCCUUGGACUUCAUGUCCUCUACCACUUCCCAAGAAGCUUUCUCAACCUUAUGGUUCCUCCAAAGACCUUUAUCGAAGCAACAUCCUUCAUCCACAAACGACGAACUUGUCAAUUCAUGAUCUUAACUGGGACUACCCCAUAAGACAUGGAGUUUGAAAUACCUAACCCAUCCAAAGGAAUAAUCGAUAAAGGAUCACCCACACAUUUCCUCAACAUGGAAACAUAAAACACCGGAUGAAUGGAGCUCAAGCUAGAAGGCAACUCCAACUCAUAGGAAAUAUUACCAACCCUCUUCAAAACCAAGUAUGGACCGACAUAGGGCAUACUAAUAUUUACCUCCUUAACAAACCGCAUCACUCCCUUCUAUGUUAAGGCCUAACUCAGAGUUAAAAGUGUUAGUGAAUGUCAUGGGACCCAAUACUUUACACCACUCAGAUAAUACUGCCCCGCCUAUUACUAUAAUCAUGAAACCUCAGGUCUUAAUUAAGGAGUUAUAGCCGCAUAAUACAAUGGUUGGGUAUUUAUCAACCCUAUCAUUCAAGCCUGCCUUUCUACCCCCGCUUUACAAAUCUUUUACCUAAGAGCUAGAAACUUCAAUCACUAUCAUAAAGGUUUUCACUGCACCUCCCCCUCCUUAGCUAUCUCAUAGAACAAAUUUUAUCUUAUUCUUUCAUUUACUCUUAUAACCUUACCUCUAGUAGUCACCCCUAAGUUUCACAACCAAGGAGAUUUACUCCCUCGUCCAAAACACUACUACACUUCCACAACCACUAUCACCCUAACAUAAGAAGGGUCAUUGAGGAACUUAAGUACUAGCAUCAAAGAUAGGGGGUUUACUUCUUAACUAUUCGUGCUACUCAAGGCGAGACCCACAAAAUGAGACGCAGUACAAUAGGCAUGAGGUACUCUAUAGCAACUACCUGUGAUAUAAAUGGAGGAUCGUUCCAACAUAGACAUAUAAUAGCACAAGUCUUUAGAACUAGGCACCAAGAAAAACAUGACCGUAUAUCUCAUGGAUAAUAUAACGUAAAGACGAGAUUCAUAUUCAGGAGACAAGUUAAAGAUUUCCACUUGAAACUACUAUUUCUUGGAACUAGGCAUAACGUAAUGACAUAGAGCUUGAAUACUUCGAAGCUUGAGUUUCUGAGAACCAUUAUUUCCAUUGGUUCAGGAGAUGAAGUAUGGACAUACAUGGCAUGUAAAAUGUGAACCUUAGGCAUAAGCACUAUUAGAAUACGUGCAACACUAGUAGAGUUCCCUCUUAACCAAAAUAGGAGAGAAUCACUAGAAUAAGAGUAAGUUUAUUCGGACUUUCCCCUGAAGUCCAUCGCUAGGAGAAAAUUUAAGAUUAUCCCUCAAUCUCCAUCUUACUACAUCCAUAAGCAUAAUACUACACUAUAAGAGGUAUCACCAUGGACACGUACUAGGGACCCAUAGAUCUCAUAUACUUAAAAUCUCAUCUAUCUAGAUGCUAUGUGGGGUUAUCAUAGUCUUAAAAAAUCCAUGCCCUAACCAUUCUUUGACUUAGUCCUCAAUCCAUCAGUUAAACCUAGACCUCCAGCCUAUAUAUUAUAAGUUAUCGACUCCUAUAUCCCCUAGGUCAUUAACCUCACCUCUUUCGCACACCUAUCAAGCCUACUAAUCUACCCUCACAAAUCUCGCUUUGCUAUCCUCGAGCUAAUAUACUCCAAUCACCAAAAUUAACAUCUAAGGUUCAAACUUAGUGUCUAUCAACCAUCAUGCACUGCUAGCAGAGUACCCCAUAGGGCGUACAAACCCUUAUCAAAACGAUACUUUGACUAUUCUUUAUACUCCUUUAACUCAACUGAAAUUAGUCUAUAAAGAGGGAAUAAAAAUAGGAUGAGUGUUCAGAAUAAGAUAAAUCCUAAACUCAAUCUCCCUAUCAGGACACCAGGAAGGUCAUCAAGGAAGACCUCCCUAAAUUUAUUCACCACUAGGAUGGAAUGCAAAAAAGGACCCUCCAAGUUAGAAUUUUUAACCCGAACUAGGUGGUAGAGACUCCUUUUGGAGAUUAAUCUCUGGGAUCUAAAAUAUAAUAUAAACCUUUCCUUAGGAGCUAGGGAACCACCCUCUCACUCAAUAAACUGGCUCGUUAGGGAAUUUAAAGAUAACCUUACGGCUCCAACAAUCUAGAGAUGCAUAGCAUGAGUACGACCAAUUCACCCCCAAUAUAACAUCUAAAUCAACUAUGUAUAAUUUAAACAGAUCCACUAAGGUCUACCGACCACCCACAAAUACCACACAACCCCUAUAAACUCUUUUAACCACCACAGAGUCACCCAUGGGGGUUAAAAUAGAAAAAGGCUCUGAAAUGCACUCAAGACCAAAACCAAAAUAUAUAGCCACAAAUAGGGUCACAUAAGAGAGAGUGGAUCCCAGAUUAAGUAAAUAGUGCACAUCACUAGAAAAGAGUUUAAAUAUAACAGUCAUGAUAUCCGAUGAUGCCUUAGAGUCCUGGCGAGAAAUAAGAGCAUAAUUUUGGCCAUGGCCAGUGCCAGUACCAUGAGCAGAAGCAGUACCUUUUGGUAUAGGAAAUAAGAAAGAGGCAACGGGAACCUUGUUAGCCCUAAAUGCAACUCUAGAAGGAUAUCACGUUGUAUAUGACCAAUCUGACCAUAAAUAAAUCAUCAGUGUCUCUUUUUCUCAGACUAGCCAAAGUACAGCCGACCACAAAAUCUAUAAAGGAGGUAGAACGGAGUCGACUAAGCCUCACCAAUUUGUAAUUAGGUACCCCAUGCCCUACAUCCCCUAUUGUGUUAAAAGCGAUGAUCACCUAACCACUUUGGGUAAGGAGCACUAGUCGAACAAGAACCAGAACUUCCCCACUUCUCCUUAGGCUACUUCCCCCCUUUCUACUACUAAAACCUUAAGAAUUAACUUAAUACCAGUAAAAGUUGGAGUACCCAACUCUAUGGACUGGUCAAACCUUGUGGCCUCAGAAAAUUGAGCACUACACUCAGACUGAGAAGCUACCUAAUGAGCCAACAUAUGACUAGAUUAGGGGUGUUAAAUAGGUGGGUUUGGUUGAUAUUGAAGAUAUUAAAUGGUUUGAAUUAAAUAUCGGGUUGGGUCAUAACCCGCCCAAAUUCACUUUGGGUUAAAAUGGGUAAAAAUCAGGUUAGCUCUUGACCUGCCCAAUUUAACCCACUUAAUCUAAAAAGUAUUAACAUAUUAAUAUGUACCUCUUGUAACAAAAAAAUUUGAAUGAGUUUGAAAAGUUGGGUGAGUGGGUAGGGAGUGAGGAUAGGGUAAGAAUAUUUUUUAAAGUUUAAUUUUUUAAAAAAUAAAAAUUCAUUUUUAUGGAGGGCUUGUAGGGUAAGCGGUUGGGUUAGGAGGGGUAGGUUUUAGGAUGGGGUUGAGGCAAAAAAAAUUAAAAAUUAUUUUUAAAAAAAGAAGAAUAUUUUUUUCUUGAAUGAAAAAAAUUUGGAAGCGAACGAGGUGUAGGGGUAAAAAAAUAUACAUUUUGGGGUCGGAGGGGAGAUAUGUCGUAUAGGGGAGGAGGGUGUGGGGAUGUAGGGAGUAGGGAGAGAUGGGGGUUGGGUAGAUUAAUUUUUUUGUUCAAAAAAAUUAUUUAUUUACUUUUGAAAAUUAAAAGAUUUUUAAUUUUUUAGGUUGGGGGUUUGGGGUAGGAAAGGGGGAUGGGGGUGAGGUGGGCUGCGGGGUGAGAUGAGGUGGGGUAAUUUAAAGAGUGGGGCGACACAUUGUCAUUUUUUUUAUCUACUUUCAUUAAGAAAAUAAUUUUUCUAUUAAACGGGUGAAGUAGAGAUUGAUUGGGUUCAUUUGAACCAACUUUGAAAAUGGGUUGUGACUUAAUGGGUUGAAAUUUACCCAAUAGCAAAUUAUCUUGAACCCAACCCAUUAAGUUUUGGGCGGGUAGGGCGGGUCAACUCAAUUUGGGUUCAUUUUGACACCCAUAGAAUAGGCUGAUGAAGCUUAGUAUUUAUAACAUCAGUUUGAGGAGCUCAUAGAGGACUAGAAGGAAUAGGGGAACUUCAGAAGAGUAAUCAUAAAGCGGACCCCUAGACCAGGUUUGGACCCCAUAAGUAGGAUGUGUCUCAUCAAUAGUGUCCCCAAGUGGAAUAGAGAAGUUUCCAUAAGGUUCAGAUUGUUUGGGAGGCAUGAUCUGAAAGGCGAACAGACAGGAAUUAAAGAAAUCCAAGACCUUAGACUCCAUAUCUUGAAGUAAGUCAACAAGUAAGAGAAAUAUUUCUAAAUGCCUCGUAGCCUCUCCCUUAUAAGUAUUGCAUGCUACAAACCCAUAAAAAGACUCUACUUGACAUGGCUUGGUGGACACCUCAUGACACCAAAACCUAGGCUCCGAUACUAAUCUGACAUGACCUAAACCAGGGCCUAGACGUGUCGGGCAUAUCACUUACAACAAGGACCAGAGACCAUCCCCUAUACCUAAUCCAACCAACUAAUAUACUACUCGUGUCGAAUAAAUUUCGAAUAUAUAAACAAGAUAGAGUAUUUAGAAUUCAAUGACUUUAGGAUAUGCCUAAAAUAGAUACCAACCCAACCAAGUCAUAUUGUCUAAACCAAACCAAAAAAAACAUAAUAUACCCAAGUCCACAGUUGUCCAUACAAAGCCUCUAAAUAAUUUCAAAGAAUAUUUACUCGGGAUAUGCCCCCGACCAUAGCCAAAAACCAAUGUCAAGGGAAUAGUAAAGACAUAAGAUAAACCAUAACAUGAAAUUGUCAUUUCGAAGAAUGAAAGCUCACUACUUUAGUCUGUCUCGAGUUGUUCCCGAAUUACCAAGUCACUAAACAGGAGGUGUAAAUGUAUGAUCGGUUCCUGCAUCGCGUGAGGAUACAUCACCCAAAGAUGGUUAGCAUAGUGAAUGCUACCAUGUACUUAGGGAUAAUGAUAAAAUAAUGACAUUAUUCAAAACCAAGUCAAAUAACCAUAGAAAUCACAUAUAUACAUAUAUAUCAUGACGGGAAAGAAAACCGGGUUUAGCAUGCAUUUAAAACCUUAACCUGGGUUAUGUAGCUUUGCCGUCCUAAAACCAUCCACGAGCUACAUGGGUUCAGUUGCUCCAGUUGAAAGGGCCCCAGUGCAUGUUACCCAUAUAACCAGAGAAAAUAAUCUGAGAUAACUAUUACAUCUCCCAAAAUAUAAAGUCUGACAUCAUGCACACAGUCACCAUAAUAAAAUCUCACAUCGGCAAACAUGAGAUCCCAGUAUUGGUCCCACUGGGACCUCCACCUUCUAUGAAUUUGCUACGCACACCCCUUUAAGACCAUAUUAAAAUAAUUUACACAUUCCAAUCAUUUACCAAGGAGUCUUUUAUCAGGCAUUAAUCAUUGGUAUCCUUAUACAAAAAAUUAGAGCAAGCAAGGCUAUGCUUUUAUGCCAUACCAAAGCAAUUAAACCAAUUUGACUCCAAAGUUACCAAUUAAACUAAUACCAUUACCACCAACGACUUUCCAAACCAUUUAAAACCAACUAAACCAAUUUAAGUUCCAUUACCUUUUAUGCAAUGCAAAGAUUUUAAGAAUAGUCGAACUAUGUGCAAAAUUAUUCGCAUUGGCAUAUUAACAAAUAGGUUGAGGGCACAUAUAUUUCAAAACCAUAACCUAGUAAUUUGGGGGAAUCCAAAGUACCUCCAAAUCCAUUUACCAUUACCAUGCAUUCCACAAUGUCAAAAUGAUAUUAAAAACAUGAAAGAAACAUCAUUAAACCAUUAGAAAUAUUAUUCAACCAUGAACAUCCAAAAACCCCAACCAUUAUUUCAAACCAUAACAAUAUCAUGAAAAUCAUACAUCAAACACAUGGUCUUUGUAAAAUAACAAUGAAGGAGGAGUCACAUACCUGAGUUACGAAAAUUUAUGGAAAGAUUUUAAUCUGUACGCCUCUAAAUGACCACCUUGAAAAAACCCUAGCCUAAUCUUAUUGAGAGGUUUUUAGAGAGAGAUUAAAGAGUGUUAUAAGACGUAAGGUCUUAAGGGCUUGGGGUGGAAAAUGUCCAAAGUACCCCCAGCUUAAAGUGCAGCAAACUCAUAUAAGGUUAUGAGUUGCCCCCCACCUUGUCACCAUAACCUACGACUAUUACCAUCAAGUCAUCACCAAGACAGAAGGUUGGGCACCACACUAUCUCCAACUGAUGACUCUCUUGCUCCACUCCUUACUAGACCAUAUAACUAGUAAAGUCUAGUCAUAUCCAUGAUAGAACACCAAGAGUUAGAUGUUGGACAAUAUACGAUUGGACUAAACUCUCUCGUCACAUCAUCAUAUAACUUAUAUGGAGUCUCUCGCAACCAGGUCAGAACUUGGCCAACAACACAUUAACCAAUGUACAACUUAGGUCCCUAGACCCGUUAUCACACCAUAUGACUCAUAGCGUGAGUCAUAAGAUGAUCAGAGAGUUCAAAACUGAGGAAAUUUACAAGGGUAAAGGUUAGGGGUGUUUCACCCAUACCUAUAAUUCCAUUUUUCAUAAAAUCUGCUCAAUAGUCAAAAUAAGUCUAGAUGCCUUAGAAUCUGAACCAAGGGUCCCCUACCCUAAAUCGAUGUUCCGAAUUCAACGGUAAAGUUAGAUUUUAAUCUAAUGCUGUUUUUUAAACACCCUUGGUUUUGACCUUUAGAAAUUUCUUGAGCUUUGAGCUUACUAUCUUGUUAACGACUUAAAUAUACGAGUCAUCUGGUGUGGGUAUGAGUCAAGUGACCCAAAUUAUAAGGUGUCCAGUGGAUGGUGGUUGGGGUUCUGUUAUGAUAACAACUUGGUAUUAUAAGUCAUUAGGGGUGGUACGAGUCGUUAGGAUGAUCCUUAAUCAAAUCAGUAACUUAGUGGCUUGACUUUAUUCUGGGUACAAUUGGCUCACUAGGAGCCAUGAGGAUAGAAUACGAGUUGUGAGGUAAAGUCAUAGGUUGUCCAAUGUCUAAUCCCUUUGGGUUCUAUCUAUGAUAUGACUAGACCAUACAAGUCAUAUGGCAUGGUAACGAGUGGGAUCAUGGGUUGAUGUGGUGGACAAUGUAUGGUUGUUAAACUUACUAUCUCGGUGAUGACUCAAGAGUAUAAGUUGUAUGUUGUGUUCACUAGUCAAGGGGUUGACUAGUAACCACCUGCGAAUUUUUUUACAUCUUUAAGUUGAGGCAUUCUCGAUAUUUCCCACUUUAACUCCCUUUGAUACCAUGACUUAAAUCAUCUUUUAGGACUUUAUUUAUACAUUAUUCCCAAUCACACACUCUUGAAACCUCUUUCAAACUCUUUUCUCAAGCAAAAACCUAGGGUUUCAUCAAGAUAAUCAAUUAAGGCUUUCAAGGGUGGUUUCUCUCAGUACUUCUUGGUGUCUAAGGCAUAUUACUCCUCCUUCAUUGUUAUUUUACUAAAAGCUCAAGUUUUAAUGUAUGAUUUUCAUGGUAUUGGUAUGAUUUUGAAAUAAAGGUUAGGGUUUUUUAUGUUAAUGGUUGAAUAAAGCUUCUUAUGGUUUAAAUAUGGUUUUUCCUUAUUUUAGCAUAACUUGAAUAUUAUGGGAUGCAUGUUAAUAGUAAAUGUAUUUUAGGGUACUAUAGAUUCCCUAAAUUACUUGGUCAUGGUCUUGAAACUUAUGUGCCCUUAACCUGUUGGUGAAACUGCAUAUGAAUAUGAUUUUGUCAUAUAGUUUGACCAUUCUUGGAAUCUUUACAAUGCAUAAAUGGUAAUGUAACUUGAAUUGGUUUGCUUUGAUUUUAAAUGGUUUUGAGAAGGCCUUAGUGGCUAUGGUCAUAGAUUAAUUGGAAACAGUAGAGUCUAAUUUUGGUUUAAUGGUUCUAUAUGGCAUAAGGGAAUAGACUUGCAAACUUUAAUUCUGGUGUGAUAAUACCAACGGUUAAUGACUAAUUAAAGGGCUCCAUGGAAAAUGGUUAGGAAUGUAUAAAUGGUUUUAAUAUAGGCUUAAAGGGGGUUGUGUGGCAAAGUCAUGGAAGGUGAAGUUCCCGGGGAGGACUAAUACUGGAAACUCAUGUUUGCUGAUUUGAGGUUUGGUCUUGAUGACCUAUGUACAUGGUUCAUACUAUUGAUAUAUAUUUGUAUCGUGGAUUAACGUGGGGUCAGGUCAUUCACAUGUCUUCCUUGAUACCUCUAGUUCAACCGAGGCAUUUCAGCAUGGGAGCUAAAUCUAUAUAGCUAUGUGUGGAGGUUCCUAAUGGCAAAGCUGCACAACAUAGGUUAAGGUUUUAAAUUGCAUGCUAAACCUUUUUCCUUAUCCCAGCAUGAUAUAUAUUUAUAUAUGUGACUAUAUAUGGUUAUUUGAUUUGGUUUUGAAUGAUGGCAUUAUUUUACCUUUAUCUUUGAGUUAUAUGCUAGUGUUCACUCUGCUAACCAUCUUCGGUGCUGUAUCACCACAUGAUGUCAGAAUCGGCCAUACUAUUAUCCUUCCUACUCAGUGACUUGGAUUUAGGGAUAACUUUGAGUCAGACUGAAGUGGUGAGCUUUCAUAUUUCAAAAGACUCCAUUUCAUGUUAUGGACUUCUUUUCAUUAUUGUUAUUUCUUUGGUUUUAGUUUUGACUAUGGUUGGGGCAAGUCUCGAUCGAUUAUUCUUUGAUUUUGGUUAGAGGCUUUGUCAGACUACCAUGGACAUGGGUGAUGUCGGUAUUAGUGUUAGCAUUGGUAUUGGUAUUGGCAUUGGGAUUAGUAUUGGUUGGACACUUGGUUUUGACUGUUUGGUUUUAGUUAUAGGCUUCAGCUAAUGUCUUUAAAUUAUUAUUAUUUUAUCUUAUUGUAUAUUCUGAAUUCAUUCAACAUAGGAUGUAGGGUGGUUAACAGUGGGGUAUUAGGGGUAGUCCAUAGUCCUGGUUGGACUUGAGAUACCCGACACUAUAGGCCCUGGUUCGGGUCAUGUUAGAUUAGUAUCAGAGCUCUAGGUUCAUGGUCAAUUAGGAGUCCAUAAAUCUAUAUCGAGUAGAGUCUCUUUUAAGGGCGUGUAGCGCGCCACACUCAUAAGGAAGAAAGUACAAGGCAUUUAGGAAUAUUUCUCUUUUUUGUGUUAUAUUUUCAGGCAGUAGAGCCUAAGGUCCUGAAAUCUUCACUAAUUCCCUUUUGUUUGUUUCUUAGAUUAUGCCUCCCAGAUGAUCUAAAGCUCAUAAAAACUCCUCUGUCCCACCCGAGGAUAAUAUUGAUGGGACAUAUUUUUUUUAUGAGGUCCAAACUCGGUCUAGGGGUCCAGUCUCUGAUUGCCCUCCUAGAGCUCCACUGGUUCUCUCCAGUCCUUCUCGAGCUUCUCAUGUUGAUGUGAUGAAUGUUGAGUUUUACCAGUCUAUUCAUGUGUUUACUCAGUUGAUAGCUACUCAUCUUGAGCGUGGUACUUCUGUUACUCCAUCUUCUGAGUUUAUAAGGGUUAGCCAAUUUAUGAGUUUAAAUCCUCCAGCCUUUGCUGGAGUUGAGGUCGAGAAGGAUCCUCAAAGUUUCUUUGAUGAGAUAGACAAGAUCUUUCAUGCGAUGCAUGCCACUAAUGUAGGGGGCAAGGAGUUCGCUGCAUACCAAUUGAAAGAUGUGGCUUAUUAGUGGAACGAAAAAUGGAACCAGCCAAGGAGUGACGAUGCCGAGUUAGCUCUAUGGGGUGAUUUUUCUAAUACUUUCCUAGAUUGCUUCUUUUCUUAAGAGAUGAAAGAAGUGAAGGUGGAAGAUUUUGUUAAUUUGAAGCAAGGCAAUAUGUCAGUCAAAUAGGAUGCCUUGAAGUUUCACCAGUUAUCUUAGUAUGCUCCGGAGAUGGUUUCUAACGUGAGGGCUAAAAAGAGAAAGUUUGCUUCCGAGUUAUCCUGAGACUUGAUUUUGGAAAGUUAGGCUUCCAUAUUGAACAAGGACAUGGAUAUUUCCAGUUUGGUUAUGUACAUACAGUAGGAUGGGGAAGAGAAAAAGAAGCAGGCAGAGAUAGGGAAAAGGCAGAGCAAGAAGUUUAGAUUUUUUUAGUAGGGUAGUGGCUAGCAGCAGAGUGGCAGUUAUGGUAAAAAGUGACCCAAAAAGAAGUAGGGUAAUUUGGGAUCUUACAUGACGGCUAGUGCUCUCUACCUAAAGCCAUCAGGUGACAGCAUUUUUAUGGUGGCGAUAAUUAUAGGGCAUAGGGUGCCCAGUCUUAGGCUAGUGGGGCCCAAUCAGCUUCAUCUUAUCCUCCCUACAGAUUUUGAGGUAGAUUGUAUCAAGGUGACUGUGAUGAAGAAAAGGACAAGUAUUUCAAUUGGGAUCAACUAGGGUACAUAAUUAGAAAUUGUCCUGUUAGUAAGGUUGCUUCUGGGGAAAACAAGGGUGUUGUUGCCUCUUCUUCAGCUCCAACACCAAAGAGUGCACCAUCUGGCUCCAACACUGGUCGGAACCAACUCUAUGCUCUUACUACUCAUCAGGAGUUUGAGGUGCCACUGGUUUUGUUACCGAUAUAUUGAUACUUUUUUCCCUUGAUGUGUACUGUUUACUUGAUCUCAGGUUUACUCUCUCUUAUGUGACCCUAUUUGUGGUUGUGUAUUUUGGUUUUGGUCCUAAUUGUAUUUCGAACCCUUUUCCUAUUUCUACCUCGGUGGGUGACUCUGUGGUGGCUAAAAGAGUUUAUAGAGGUUGUGUGGUAUCGGUGGAUGGCCAGGAAAUCUUGGUAGAUCUGUUUGAAUUAGACAUGGUGGAUUUUGAUAUCAUAUUAGGGAUGGAUUGAUUGCACUCGUGCUAUACAUCUUUAGAAUGCCGGACCCGUAAGGUCAUUUUUAAAUUCCCUAAUAAGAUGGUUAUUGAAUGGGAAGGUAGUUCCCUAAAUCCUAAAGAGAGGUUCAUAUCAUAUCUUAGAGCUCAGAGAUUAACCUCCAAGGGGUGUCUCUAUCAUUUAGUUUGGGUUAAAGAUCCUAACUCGGAGGGUCCUUCUUUACAUUUCAUCCUAGAGAUGAAUGAAUUUCCUGAGGUCGGCCCUGAUGACCUUUAUAGUGUUCCUCUCGAUAGGGAGAUUGAUUUUAGGAUAGAUCUUAUUUUGAACACUCAUUCUAUUUCUAUUUCCCGUAUAGAAUGGCUCCAGCUGAGUCAAAGGAGAUUAAGAAGCAACUAAAGAAUCCUUUAGACAAGGGUUUUAUCUGUCCUAGUGUAUCUUCAUAGGGUGAACUAGUGUUAUUCAUGCAUAAGAAGGAUGGUUCCCUUCGGAUGUGUAUUAAUUACUGGCAAUUGAAUAAGGUAAUGGUAAAGAAUAAAUACCCCCUUCCAAGGAUAGAUGAUUUGUUUGAUCACUUCAAGGUGCUAAUUUUUUAUCUAAGAUUGAUCUUCGACUGGGGUAUCAUCAGUUAAAGAUUAGGGAAGUAAAUAUCCGUAAAACUAUCUUUCGAACCUAAUAUGGGCAUUUCGAGUUCUUAGUCAUGUAUUUUGGCUUGACUAAUGCCUCGACAGCAUUCAUAGACUUGAUGAAUAGAGUUUUUCGUUAUUUUUUAGAUUUGUUCGUCAUUGUAUUCAUAAACAAUAUUCUGGUGUACUCUAAGAGCGAGGUGGAUCAUGUUGAUCACCUUCGCAUUAUGUUAUAGACCCUGAAAGAUCAGCAGUUGUAUGCCAAAUUUUUAAAAUGUGAGUUCUGGUUGAACGUUGUCACUUUUUUGGGUCAUGUCAUUUCUAGUAAAGGGAUCAUAGUGGAUCCACAGAAAGUUGUAGUGGUUAAAAAAUAGCCUAGACGCAUGACUCUAAUCAUAUAUUUGGAGCUUCUUGGGUUUAGCCAGUUAUUAUAGAAGGUUUAUGAAAAAUUUCUCUUCUAUAGUUACCCCAAUGACUAAGUUGACUCAGAAGAAAGUGAAGGUCUUAUGGUAUGAUGCUUCUGAGGGUAUUUUUAAAAAGCUGAAGAAUAAACUGACUUCGGCUCCAGUCUUGACUUUGCCUGAAGGCACUGAUGGGUUUUUGGUCUAUUAUAAUGCAUCCCGUGUAGGGAUUGGUUACGUCCUGAUGCAGCAUGGAAAAGUGAUAACUUAUGCCUCCAAAUAAGGUGCAUGAGAAGAAUUAUCCAACUUAUGACUUGGAAUUGUUGGUUGUGGUAUUCGCAUUGAAAGCUGGCAUCACUAUUUGUAUGGAGUGCCUAUGGAUAUCUUUUCUGAUCAUAAGAGCCUCUAAUGUGUGUUUGCCCAGAAAUAGCUGAACCUCAGGCAAAGGAGAUGGAUUAAGCUGCUCAAAAAUUAUGACAUAAGUCUUCACUACCAUCCAGGUAAAGCUAACAUAGUUGUUGAUGCUCUUAGCAGGUUAUCUAUGGGGAGUCUAGCUCAUAUAGAUGAAGAGAAGCAGGAGUUGGCGAGAUAUAUUCACCAUUUGGCUAACCUUGGAGUUCGUCUCUUAGACUCUGAAGAUAGUGAUCUAUUUGUGUAGAAGGUGGUACAGCCAUCUUUUGGUAUGGAAAUAAAGGAGAAAUAAGUGUUGGAUCCUGUCUUGAUGAGGAUUAAGGAUAAUGUAGGUGGGCAGAAGGUGAUGGCCUUUGAGAUUAGUGGUGAUGGUACCUUGCGGUACUAAGGGAGGUUAUGUGUUCCUGAUAUAGAUGGAUUGCGAAAGGAUCUUUCUUGAUUGAGGCACAUAAGUCGCGCUACGCUGUUCAUCUCGAUUCGAUGAAAAUGUAUCAUGACCUUAAGCUGAUGUACUGGCGAAAUAAUAUGAUGCGGGAUGUAGCUAGUUUUUUAUCUAAGUGCAUGGUGUGACAACAAGUAAAACUUUAGCACUUGAGGCCCAAAGGAUUGUAUUAAGAAAUUGAGUUACCUGUGUGGAAGUGGGGGUGAUCAAUAUAGACUUCGUUACCGGUCUUCCUCGAUCUCUGAAUCAAUUUGAUUUGGGUUGGGUCAUCGUGGAUAGGAUGACAAAGUCUGCUCAUUUCUUACCAGUAAGGACUAAUUUUUCGACAGAGUAUUAUGCGAGGUUGUACCUCUAAAAGAGUAUGAAUUUGUAUGGGGUACCUAUUUCUAUCAUCUCGGAUUGUGGUAGGCAGUUUUCAUCGCACUUCUGGCAAUUAUUUUAGAAAGGUUUGGGAACUAAGGUGAUUCUUAAUAUUGCUUUCGACCAGCAGUCGGAUGGGCAAGCGAAAAGAACUAUUUAGACAUUGGAAGAUAUGCUUUGAGCUUGCGUGAUUGACUAUGGUGGUCGUUGGGUUGAGCAAUUAUCUCUUAUAGAGUUUAUGUACAAUAACAUCCACUACUCUAGCAUUGGGAUGGCUCUAUUUGAGACCUUGUGUGGUAGGACGUGUAAGUCUCCUAUUGAGUGGUUUGAGGUUGGUGAGGCGGAGAAGUUUGGUUCGAAUUUAGUUCAUCAAGCCAUGAAUUAAGUAAAGGUGAUUCGGGAUAGGCUUAAAGCCACCUAAAUUUUCCAAAAGUCCUAUACGGAUGUGAGGUGUAGGAAGUUAGAGUUUGAGGCUGGGGAUAGGGUAUUUUUGAAGGUGUCUCCAUGAAGGGAGUGAUGCAGUUUGGGAAAAAGGGAAAGCUUAGUUCCUAGUAUGUUGGUCCGUACUUGGUUUUGAGAAGGGUUGGUAAUGUUGCAUAUGAAUUGCAGUUGCCUUCUAGUUUGAGCUCCAUUCACCCGAUGUUCCAUGUCUUAAUGUUAAUAAAGUAGGUGGGUGAUUCAUCGCAAAUUAUGUUUAUCAAGGAUAUUGGUAUUUUGGAUUCCUUGUCUUAUGAGGAGGUCUCGGUUGAAAUCUUUGAUCGGCAAAUUUAUCGGUUGUGGAUGAAGGACAUAGCUUCGGUAAAGGUUUUAUUGAGGAACCAUAAGGUUGAAAAGGCUAAUUGGGAAGCUAAAGAGGACAUGAAAUCCAAGUAUCCAUUCGUGUUUUCUGCUCUGGAAGAUCAUGCGUAAGGUAUGUGUUAUUCUUAACACCUUUGUUUUCUAACUUAGUUAAAAGUAAGAGUAGAGGCGUUUGGGGUUUUGAUCGUUCUAGUCAAUGUCUUGUCCCAUCAUUCGGGAAUGAAUGAUCCAAGUAGGGGAGGAUUAAAACACCUUAAGUUUUGACCCUUGGAAAUUUCCUAAGCUUUGAGCUCACAAUCCUGUUGAUGACUUAACCAUACGAGUCAUAUGGUGUGGGUACGAGUCAAGGGACCCAAAUCGUGAGGUGUCUAGUAGAUGAUGGUUGGGGUUCUAUUAUGGUAAUGAAUUGGUGGUACGAGUCGUUAGAGGUGGUGAUGAGUCGUUAGCACGAUCCUUAAUCAAAUCAAUAACUUAGUGGCUUGACUUUACUUUGAGUACAAGUGGCUCACUAAGAGACGUGAGGAUAGGUUACGAGUUGUGAGGUGAAGUCGUAGGUUGGCCAGUGUCUAAUCCCUUUGGGUUCUGUCUUGGAUAUGACUAGACCAUACGAGUCGUAUGAUCUGGUAAGGAGUAAGAUCAUGGGGUCAUGUGGUGGACAGUGUAUGGGUGUUCAACUUACUGUCUUGAUGACGAAUCAAGGGUACGAGUCUAUGUUGUGGUCACAAGUCAAGGGGUCAACUCAUAACCACCUGCAGUUUUUUUACAGAUUUAAGUUGAGGGCAUUCUGGAUAUUUCCCACUUUAACUCCCUUUGAUACCACGACUUAAAACAUCUUUUGGGACUUCAUUAACAUAUUAUUCCCAAUCAAACACUCUUAAAAUCUCUCUCAAACUCUCUGCUUAAGCAUAAAUCUACAGUUUCAUCAAGAUAAUAAAUUAAGGCUUUCAAGGGUGGGAUCUCUCUGUACUUCUUGGUGUCUAAGGCAUGUUACUCCUCCUUCAUUGUUAUUUUACUAAAAGCUCAUGUUUUAAUGUAUGAUUUUUAUGGUAUUGUUGUUUUAAUAGUGGGGUAUUGGGUGUGGUCUCGGAUCCUGGUUGGACUUGUGAUACCCGACACGACUAGACCCUGAUUCGGAUCGUGUCAGUUUCGACCAAAUAUACGUCCUACACCCAUAUUACCAAUUUUUCAACUUUCCGAUCAAUAGGUCGAAAUGAGCUCGGGUGCAUCGAGACCCGAAUCAAAGGUCUACCUAGCCUAAAAUCGAUAUCUCAGAGUUAUUGGCGCAGUCAAAAUUUGCAUCCGAGAUUGUUUUACUAAAGUUUUUACUCAGUGGCCAUUUAGAACCACCGAAGACUUGUAAAUAAGGAAUUGAUUCUAAAAAUCAAACGAACUGGUCGGUAGCUAGACUGUCAAUUCCAGCAAGUCAUAUAUAACUUGGGGCAGCUAUGGAGAAGAUAUAACAACGGAAAUAAACAAAAAUAUGAAAAAUGAACGAAAAGGUCAUUACACUCAUCUAUACCACUGUCGUUACAUAAAGGUUCAUUCGUGUCAUUAUUUUUGUAAUGGGUGAUUUUACCAAAUCAUUUUCCACAUAGCCUCUUAUUAGAUAUCCACAUCACCAAAACUAAUUCAACCAAUAUUACUUAAAAUUUAAAUAAAUUCAAUCCAUUAAAAUAAAACCCAAUACAAUUAAUGGUAUAAUUUUUAUUAUUAAUGAGCCUAAUUUUUAUUUUAAUGUUGUGGAUCGAAUUUUAAUUUAAUGAGUUUAAUUUUUAUAUUGAUUUUAAAUAAUAUUGAUUGAUUUGGAUUUGGUAACGUAGACCUAUAAUAAAAGGUCACGUGAAAAAAUGAUUUCGCAAAACCACAAUUACGAGAUAAUAGCAUAAAUAGACCUUUUUGUAAUGGCAGUGACAUAGAUAAGCCAAACUUUUAAAAGUGGUGGCAUAGAUGAGUUAUUUCUAGUAGUAUUCUUUCCCUUAAAAUAAGGCGAGUUUGAAAGCUUGACCAAAUAAGCCAUUAAUAUAUAUAUAUGUGUGUGUGUGUAUGUAAUUUUAUUCUAUCAUCUCCAAUAACUACUCCUAAGAAAUUAAUACUAUUUUUACAUAAUUUCAUUUUCUUUCUGUUUAUUAUUAUUCCAUUAUCUACAAAUAAUUUAAAAACUUGAUGUAAAUGUCCCAAAUGUUCUCUCAUAUUAUUACUAAAAAACUGUUGUUAUUCUCUCAGGGUGUGAUUAAAGAAGAUAUUGCUAAAAUACAUAUAUAUGUGUGUGUAAUUUGAGGAGCUUAGGGUCAAGUUCUCAAAAUGACAAUUAAGUUUCUCAAAGUCCAUUUAUUAUUAUUUAAAGGAGUUUUCAAAAUAUCAACUAAGCUCCUCAAAGUUUCACUUAUUACGAUUUGUAGAUUUCUCCAAAAUUACUUAUAUUUAUUUAUAAUUUAUGUUAAAAGAAUACUAUAAAUUACAAUAAUUAAUUCUAAAAUAUUUAAAGGGCAUAGUAAAAAAAGAACUGAUUCUCAAAAUUAAACCAGUACUGCAUAACUUGAGAUAAUUAUUUGAAAAUGAUAUAAAAUGUAUUAUAAAGCAUAAUACAUAACAAGUAUUUUAAAGACAUAUAAAAAAUGAAAUGAGAGGAGCUCAGGGUCAACUUUUGAAACUUACAAAUAAACUUCUCAAAGUCCCACUUUUUAUUGUUUGAUUUUGAGGAGUGAGAGGAGCUUAGGGUCAAUUUUUAAAAAUGACAACUAAGCUCCUCAAAGUCUCACUUACUACUAUUUGAAAAGCUUAGGAUUAGUUUGUGAAAUGAUUAUUUCGCCCUUUUACUUCUCCAAAAUUACUUAUAUUUCUUUGAAAUUUAUGUAAAAAUAUAAUAAAUCACAAUGAUUAACUUUAAAAUAUUUUGAAAGACAUAAUAAAAAAUCAGUUGGCUCCCGAAAUUCUAUCGAUACCACAUAAAUUGGAACAAUUAUUUUGAAGUGAUAUAAAAAUGCUAUAAACUAAAAUAAUUAAUAAUUUACAAAUAUUUGAAAGACAUAAAAUGUUCGAUUAACUCUUAAAAUUCUAUCAGAGUUAUAUAAAUUGAGACAUAAUAAGAAGUAACAUAUAUUAUUUAUAAAUUAUAUAAACAAUACUAUAAAUUACAAUAAUUAACAAUAUAAAAUUUUUGAAACGUGAGAACAUAAAGUAGCUUAGGGUCAGAAGGUAAUUGACUGAUUCGCCUUUCUAUUUUUAUUUUUAGUUUGUGGAAAUCCAAUUCAUAUAAUUUAACCAAAACAACCGAUAAUUUCUCUCUUCAUUAUUAACUGGGCCUACUUUUUGAAAUUUGAGCAUUUCAAAGAUGUAAAGAGAGAAUUAUAUUAUUUUCAUUCAACAUGAUGUUUUUCUCUUACACAUCAAAAAAAACAAAAAACUAAAUAAAGAAAAUAAUUCAACAUUUUCACGAAAAUUAAAUACUUCUAUUAAAUAAAGAAAAUAAUUAUGUAAAAGUAAUUUAAAUUAAAAUACUAAACCAAUAAAAGUAUGUAAAAGGUAUAAAAAAAAAUUGAUUAACUCUUAACAUUCUAUCAGUGUCACAUAUAAAGGUACUAUAAAUUACAAUAGUUAACAAUUUAAAAUAUUAAAAAGACAUAUUAAAAAUUUGGUCGAUCCUCCAAAUCUUAUCAAUGCCAGGUAAAUUAGAGUAAAGGAAGUAACAUAUAUUAUUUGAAAAUUAUGUAGAAAGUACUAUAAAUUAUAAUAAUUAACAACUUAAAUAUGUAAAAAGUAUAUUAAAAUUAGUUGACUCUCCAAUUCUAUCAGUACCACAUAAAGUGAGACAGAGAGAGUAUCAUAUAUUAUCGAAAAAUUAUGUAAAAAAAAUACUAUAAAUCACAAUAAUUAACAACUUAAAAAUUAAACGAAACAUUUCGAUCGACUCUUAAAAUUCUAUCUAUGUAACAUAAAUUGAAACAUAAUAGAAAUUAUGUAAGAAAUACAAUAAAUCGUAACACUAAUUAAUAACUUAAAUUUUUUUAAAUCAUACAAAAUUAAUUGGUGAUUUAAAUUUCAUUUGUGUUACAUAAAUUAGGACUAAGUAAACAACAUGGGCUCGGAGAGUUAGGGAUCGUUUGAUUGUGAAUAAGUUACUUCGGGAUAAUUAAUCCUGGGAUUAAUUAUUCCACCAUGUAUAUGAAAUACUUAUUGUAUCACUAAGAUAUAAAUGAUGGAAUAAAUAACCUCUAAUAACUUCAACUAAACAUGGUAUGUAAAAUAAUCCUAUACUUUAUUCUGAGACUAUGAUAACUUAUGUGUCACACCAAAACAUGUGUAAAGCUUGGAGGCUAAUUUUUUUUUAAAUGGUUUCCAACAAUAGUAGUAGUUUAUAUUUUAAAUCCAGAAAAUUACAUGGUAUAGCCCCAAUAGUGGAGGGCUUUGGAUUUUUAACCCCAAUAAGAAAAGUCUUUAGAGACUAGCCUUCCUUCCUUUUAAGUAUAAUAUAAGUAUAAUUUUACCUCUCAACACCUCAAAUAUUUUUAAACUUUCCAUACUCAUUUAUCUCUCAAAUUCUAUUUUUAUUUUUAUUAUUUUAACUUUUUUAUUUUUCUUUUAAUUUUAUUUUCAUGUUUUAAUUCAUUUGUCUCAACCUUUAUUUUUCGCUUUUUUUUUCUCAAACAUUAUCUAUUUCAUCAUUUUUUUUCUUUUUUUUUAAUUCAUUUGUCUCAACCUUUAUUUUUCUUUUAUUUUUGGUCUUUAUCAUUUCUCUUUUUUUCCCUCAUUUUUCUUAAACUUUAUUUUUAUUUUUUUCAUCUCAUUUUUGUUUUUCUCAAUUUUUUAAUUCUUCAUUUUUUUCUUAAUCUUUAUUUUUUCUUGUUUUUUUCUCAAUCUCUUUUUUUAUUUCUCUAUUUUAUUUGAUCGUUUUUUUCUUUUUUCUCAACUUCUAUUAUAUUUAGUUAAUAAAUAAAAAAUUGGAUAAUCCGCAAAGAGAUAUUCUUUUUUUGACGUCAAAACAAAUUUAAAGGCGUGCAUUAUUGUUAAGAAGCUCCUUGGGAUAAGUUUUGCCGCAAAGGCAAAAAUUAUAGAACAACUCAUAAAUCAAAGCACAAUGCGGUAGCGUCAAGUCUUGCUUAUGGAGCAUAACUUGUUGUUUGAAAAAUCCUUGAGUUAAGUCUUACUUCUAAGGCAAGAGUUAUAGAAUAUCUCAUAAAUAAAAAAAACAAUGUGGUAGUGUCAACACUUGUCCAUUGGGUAUAACUUGUUCUUUUGGGAGGUUCUUAGGCUAAGUUUUGUCUUAGAGGCAAGACUAAUAGAACAUCACAUAAAUCAAGACACAAUAUGAUAGUAUCAACUCUUAUUCAUGGGGCGUAACUUGUUGGCUAAGUCUUGCCUCUAAGGCAAGAGUUAUAGAAUAUCUCAUAGAUCAAGGCACGAUGUGGUAGUAUCAACUCUUAUCCAUGGGGCGUAACUUACUGUUUGAAAGUCCUUAGACUAAUACAAGCCUCUAAGGUAAGAGUUAUAAAACAUCUCACAAAUCAAGAUAUAAUGUGGCAGUGUUAACUAUUACCCAUUGGGCAUAACUUAUUGUUUAAAAGUCCUUAAUUUAUAAAAAAUCUCAUAAAUCAAGACACAGUGUGGUAGUCUCAAAUCUUGUCCGUAGAGGGUAACUUGUAAUUUAAAAGUCCUUGGGCUAAGUCUUGCCUCUAAAACAAGGGUUAUAGAACAUCUCAUAAAUCAAGACAGAGUGUGGUAGUCUCAAAUCUUGUCCAUGGAGGGUAACUUGUUAUUUAAAAGUCCUUGGGCUAAGUCUUGCCUCUAAAACAAGGGUUAUAGAACAUCCCAUAAAUCAAGAUACAGUGUGGUAGUCUCAAAUCUUGUCUGUGGAGGGUAACUUGUUAUUUAAAAGUCCUUGGGCUAAGUCUUGCCUCUAAAACAAGGGUUAUAGAACAUCUCAUAAAUCAAAACAUAAUGUGAUAGUGUCAAGUCUUACCCAUGGGGAGAAACUUGUUACUUGAAAGUCCCUGGUAUAAAUCUUGCCUCUAAGGGAAGAGUUAAUAAACAUCUCAUAAAUUAAUACACAGUAUGGUGGUAUCAAUUCUUGUGCAUGGGGCAUAACUUGUAGUUUGAUAGUCCUUAGGUUGAGUCUUACCUCUAAGACAAGAGUUAUAGAGCAUUUCAUAAGUAAAAAACACAAUGUGUUAGUGUUGACUCUUGCCCAAUAUACACUUGUUUGAAAAUUCUUGGGAUAAGUCGUGCCUCUAAGGUGAGAGUUAUAGAACAUCUCAUAAAUAAAGAUAUAACAUGGUAGUGUUAACUCUUACCCGUGAGGCAUAAUUUGUCAUUUGAAAGUCUUUGAGCUAAGUCUUGUCUGUAAGCCAAGAGUUGUAGAACAUCUCAUAAAUAAAGACAUAACGUGGUAGAGUCAAUUCUUGCCGGUGGGACAUAAUUUGUUCUUGAAAGUCCUUGAGCUAAGUUUUUCCUCUAAGGUAAGAGUUGCAAAACAUCUCAUAAAUAAAGACAUAACGUGGUCGAGUCAACUCUUGCCCGUGGGACAUAAUUUAUAGUUUGAAAGUCUUUGAGCUAAGUCUUGCCUCUAAGAUAAUAGUUGUAGAAUAUCUCAUAAAUGAAAAUAUAACGUGGUAGAGUCAACUCUUGCCGGUGGGACAUAAUUUGUUUUUGAAAGUCCUUGAGCUAAGUUUUUCCUCUAAGGUAAGAGUUAUAAAAUAUCUCAUAAAUCAAAUAACAAUGUGGUUGUGUCAACUCUUGCGCAUGAAAUAUAACUUGUUGUUUGAAAGUCACAAGUGUUGCCUCUACAAUGUAGCAAUGUUAACUCUUGUUCAUGAAACAUAGCUUGUAAUUUGAAAAUCAUAAGUCUUGCCUUUAUAAUGUGAUAGUGUCAACUCUUACUAAUGAAAUGUAACUUGAUUAGAGGAAAUCGAAGAAAAGAAUAAAAAUAAUAAAAAAUUACAGAAAAAAUAAAGAAAAAUAUUAAAAAAUAAAAAUAAAAUAAAAUGUAGAAGUUGAAAGAGAAUGAGAAAAAACUAAAGGUUGAUAAAAAUAUAAAAAAGAUAAAACAAAAAUAGAGGCCAAGAAAAAUUUAAAAAAAAAAAGAAAAGAAAAAUAAAAAUCAAAGAAAAAUCAAAAAAGUUUUUCUUUUUAUAGAAGUAGAUGUUGAGAGGAAUAAAGGAAAAAAGUAAGGAUUGAGAAAAAUUAAAAAGAACAAACAGAAGAGGAAAGAAAAAAUUAAAAAUUAAAGUAAAAUAAAAAAUAAAAAAAAGGAGAAAUUGAGAGGAAAAAAGAAAACAAAUAAGGAUUGAAAAUAAUUAAAAAUAAAAUUAAAAAAAUAUAUCUAAAAAUAUAUCAACUAAUAGCUGAAGUUCAGCUGAAGGUUGGUUUUAUAAUUUUUUUUUUACUUUGGAGUCAAAAGUCAUUUAUUUUGGGGCUACCUACCCAAGAAGGUAGUCCAGUUUCCCCUUGGUAUCUUAAAAGAGCGGAGCAGAAAGUGUUUUCUUUCUCAAAUUUAAAAUUAGUUAAUGAGUGAGCAUUGUUUCUUGUUUACAUGAAUUUCCGGCGAUGAAUAGGGCUGCUUUAAUAAGCUCUCAGGGCAACACUUUUCAGCUAAGGGCCGCCUCUCUUUUUCAUUCUUCCCCAAUGUUGGAACGCAGAAGACGCACUCAUUGGGAUUCUGUUAGUGUCUCUUUCUAUUACAUAUAUAUAAUUUCGUUUAUUUAUUUGGUUUAUCUCGAGUUUUCAGUUUGUCGGACUCAUUGGUUUUGCGAUGUAUGAAAUUUCUAUGUGCAACAAGUUUGGUUUUGGAAGUGGAAAUUCAUGUUAGUUGUUUGCAUAAACAUAAUAUAUUGUAUUUAUUAUAGAGAAGAAAGCAAACGUUGCACAGCAAGCCCAUGAAUUGGUGAUUUCUGGAUUUUCAUUUGUGGCAAUCGAAAGAACUAUUGUAAAGUUUGAUGAAGUUUGCUCUUUUUCCUUGUUGUGCAGGGGAGUGGUGCUUAUAAAGGCUCUUCAAGGGUGAGCCAUUGGCGCUAUGUUGCUUCAAUAAACCUUGUUCAAGGAAUUUUUCUGAUAGACAUGUUUGAUUUACUAUUUAAUGCUGCAAAAUAGGUUUCUCCCUUUGGUUUGGUUAAUGAGGACUAAAAUCCAGUAAAAUACCUACCCCAUCUGGUAGUUUGCCAAGGUUAGCUUCUUAAGUUACAUACAAUUAGGAAAUGAAGAGGAUUAAGGAAGAGGCUAACCUUGUUGUUUCUGUUUCUUCUUGACAUGGAAUUCUGCAAAAUCCCUAGAGUUUAACACAAUGAACUAGCAAAAGCUUGUGCAUUUUCUAAUAAAUUGGUAAAAACUUAGAAAUAUACUUGAAAUAAAUAAAAGUUAAAACAAAAAGAAAUUGAGAAUGCUUAAUUUUUGUCCUAAGUUGUUAGUUUUUCAUGUAUCACACAGUUUCUUGAGUAGUUUAACAUUCCAUGAAUGCAUGGCUGGUUACUUAGAGCAUUUUGUGUCUCUGAUUCCUGUUUAACCUCGGAACCAUUGAACUAUUAAUUUACAACAAAUCGCUUGAUUUAUGUCUUUUCAUGUCAUUGUACAACAACAUAUCCAGUGUAAUCUCACAAAUACGUUCUGGGAGGGUGAUGUAUACACAACCUUACCUAUAUCUUGUGAAGGUAGAGAGGCCAUGUCACGACCCGAACUAGGGCCUAGUCGUGACGGGUAUCUUGAGCCCACCAUGGACCGGAGAUCACCCCCUUAGCCUAACCUCAAGAGCACAAUAAUCAUAAAAUAAAGCGGAAGACAAUCAAACCAAUGAUAUUAGUAAUAGGAAUAGAUGAAUCAAAUGACGGUUCAAAGAAUUCAAAUAACAAUCCACCCACACUUGUCCACAAAAGCCUAUAAAAUCAGAAUAACACCAAAGUCGGGACAUGCCCCCGACUGUGAUAAAAAAGAAUCCAAAAGUACUAUGAAAAUAAAGCAAGAAUAGUGAAAUGACAAGGUCUUCCGAAGGAUAGAGGCUCACCACUUCACAACAAUUCAACAAACGUGCUCAACCACCUAACACUGCGCAGGAGCAACAGAAAACCCUUUAGACCCUACAUCAUAAAGCGAUGUUGAGUCCAGGGACGGUCAGUGGAUAAACACUGGCAUGUAACUCAGGGAAUAAGGAUAAAAUAAUGCAAUUACCAAAAUUCAGUCAUAAAUCAUAUGCACCACAUUCAUAUAUAUAUAUAAAUAUAUAUAAUGAUGUAGCUUCUAGGGAGGGACGGUCAGUGGAUAAGCAUUGACAUGUAACUCAGGGAAUAAGGAUAAAAUAAUGCAAUUACCAAAUUCAGUCAUAAACCAUAUGCACGGAGAAGCAGUACAAAGAGAAGACAGGAAAAUACUUAUAUAGAUAGAUAGAUAGAUAAAGAGAGAGAGGAUGUCGGGAUCAGUGUUUUGAAAAGCGAGAGGCGAAAAAAAGCGACGAGGGUUCGCUUCACAGAAGCGAGAAGCGUGAAGCGAAGCGCACUCUUUUUUCCAUUAAAGCGCUAUUUAGUACAAAAUUCAAAAAUAUUAAACAUGCAUAAAUAAAUAACCAAGAGCUCAU
RNAcentral lists this long non-coding RNA (67137 nucleotides) under Capsicum annuum. Its description in RNAcentral is "long non-coding RNA (CANN_LNC005038)". The record is from RNAcentral. Lineage: Eukaryota; Viridiplantae; Streptophyta; Magnoliopsida; Solanales; Solanaceae.